CAAGUUUUGCAUGCUUCACAGAGCAAUUCAAUCCUUAUAGCUUGAAGAAAGUUGAAUGGAUGCUUCAGAACAAGAGAAAUUUAAGGAACAAAGAGAGAGGAUAUUUCGCAGCUAUGACUUGCAUUUUCUUCAUCCAUUUAAACUUGUUCAAACAUAGGAUAUUCCAACAUCACAUCCCAAUCCAUGACAGAAGGGGAUUGCUGCAUCACCGACUGACCGACCGACCGACCGACUGAAAGAUAGUAACACAUGUUGUUUCUUCCUCGCGUAACCAGCUCUAAUUAACCCCGGACAGAGCGACACUCGAGCUCGCGAUCAAAAACACCACACACACGACGACUCAGACUGACACAGGAACACGACGACACCGAAGAUAACUUGCUAACGAAGACGACGACGACGACACGGUAGAUAGAUCGAUAACUGGGAGAUUCGAGGCUCAGUUCCUCCACUGGCCGCCGGAGUCGCCGCCGCCACCGCCGCGCUGGCCGCCGUAGCCGCCACCACCGCCGUAGCCGCCGCCGCCGCCGUAGCCGCCGCCGCCACCGCGCUGGCCGCCGUAGCCGCCACCGCCCUGGCCGCCGUAGCCGCCGCCGCCGCCUCCGUAGCCGCCGCCGCCGCCGUAGCCUCCGCCACCGCCGCGCUGGCCGCCGUAGCCGCCGCCGCCGCCGCCCCCUCCGCCCGAGCGGCGGGACUGGGCCUCGUUGACGGUGAUGUUGCGCCCGUCGAGCUCCUUGCCGUUCAUCUCCUCGAUGGCCUGGCGCAUCGACUCCUCGCUGCCGAACGUGACGAAGCCGAACCCGCGGGACCUCCCCGUCUCGCGGUCGUUGAUGAUCUGCACGCACGCACGCACAGAACAAAACCCGCCAGACGCGGUCAGAUCCGCCACAGAAACCACCAGAUCGGGCCAGAUCUAGCGCCGACGACGCGAAAUUCGAACGGAUCUGGGAGGGGAAGGGGGGUUAGGGUUACCUUGGCGUCGAGGAUCUCGCCGUACUGGCUGAAGGCCUGCUGGAGGUUGUUGUCGUCGGUGGCCCAGGCGAGGCCGCCCACGAAGCAGCGGUACUCCGUCUCCGCCAUGGAUGGAUCUCCCUCUCCCUUCCUCUCUACGGAAACCCUAGACUAGGCUAGCUACUCUCGGACCCGAACCGAACCAGAACCCGAACCGGAAGGGGAGGAGAAGCCAACCCCGAGAGCGAUGAGGAGGACGCUGCCCCGCCGCGGGCACGCAUUUAUAGCGGCGGGCGGCCGCCCGGAUCGCAUCACGCGCGCGGCGGGGCCCACGCGUCAGCGAGGAUGGAUGCGGGCUCUCGGGAUUUGGAAUACGCGCACGCCUCGAAUCUUCUUUCCCAAGGCAGCACCAAGGAAAAAUCUGAAUUGCUUGCUUUUUCCUCCUAUAACAACUAGUAACCCUAGUAGGACAAUGAUGCAAAGAAAAAUUUGGGUUUGCUUUUUUCUUUCCUAUAAUAAUAACCGCAUCAAAUCUUUUUCUUUUUGAAGUUUAACCGCAUCAAAUCUUGAGAGAAUCAUUCAGGGGUAUAUAUGAGCUGCAACCCGAUCUUUCUAGAUGUGCGCACAAAUAAUUAAAAAUAAUGAAGCUGCAAGGUGAAAUUUAUAUUUUUCGAAAACCUCAUCGCCCCCUCCCGCCACCCCCCACACAGGGGGCAAAUCAAGAUCGAAACCUCCAUGCGUACGACACUCAUGUGCCUGAUUUCUGUCCCGCUAUCGGUCCAGUAGGUGUUGUGAUUUUGUUCUAAGUAAUGGAUUGUUGGGUGUGUACCAUUGGACACUAAUCGGACAAAGACCAUCGUAUGUGUAGCAGCGCUCAAUCCGAACUUGGGUUAUUAAGUGUUGUUCAAAUGGAUGUACCUUCGACAUGUAAAUACACUCGUGUGAGCGAUACUUAUUGUGGGAUGGAAGGAGCUCAUGAAAGCGUGGAGUGUACGCCUUGCUCGUUGGAGCCACCAUGUAACUCCAGUCAAAAUCAUCGGUUUGCUUCCUUGAUAGUGUGGAUGUGAAAUUUCUAGUGCGGAAAAUUAACAGUCAGUGAGGUAAUUCAAAACGUGUGUAGAUAGGCGCGCUCAUUGUACAUGCCUCGUUGAAAAGGCGUUUAGGACAUCGUUGUGGCAUCAAUUGCUUGCAUCUCACCCAUCGGCGUCAGGGCAGUGGAGAUGAAUGUGGCCCUAUGAUGUGAUGAUACCAAAAUUGCAUCGCCUUUUCUUUACAUUAUUUGGUCGUGUGGUGAACGUAGAGGCACAUAACCUAGACAGGAACGGGUGAAGAUUAUCUAUGGUCUCAACAUCCCAUUAUGUUCUUUUAGGAACAAGCAGGUAGAUGUUUUUUUUUGUGAGAAAACUUCUGAGCUAUUCAACAUGUCAUGGCAGUACAAAGAACACACACAAAAAAUGAAAAUUACAUCCAUGUCCAUAGACAUCCUAGUGGCGACUACAAGCACUGGAGCGAGAGCCGAAGGCGCGCCGUCGUCAUCACCCCUCCCUCACCGGAACUGGGGCGAACUUGUUGUAGUAGACAGUCAGAAAGUCGUCGUGUUAAGGCCCUAUAGGACUAGCGCACCAGAACAUCACCCGUUGCAGAUGAACUGAAGUAUAGAUCGAAAGAGUGCAACCUGUAGUCACAGGAAUGAAGACGAACAAAGGCUGGAUCAAAACGGAUCCACCAAGCACCGACCGAAUCCUGCAAGAUCCGACGGAGACACACCUCCACGCACCCUCCGACGACGCUAGACACAUCACCGGUGCGGGGCCCGGGCGGGGAGAGGCUCAGGGAGCCUCCACCAUCUCGUCUUCCCGAGCAGAACACAAACCCUAAACGGACUCAUAAAAACACCUAAAAUCGUAGGAAGAGCUCUCCCGCCAGCAAGGACUAAGGUCCACCACGCCUCCAUGGCCCUAGGUCCGCCUAAGACGAGGCGGGCCGGUGACGGCGCCGACGAGAGGUAGAGGAACCCUAAUUUCUUUCCUGGAGAGGAGGUGGAGGCGGCGGCUAUCUUCUUUUCUAACCCAGGAGAGGAAACUAGCAAGCAGGUACUCCCUCCGUUCGGAAUUACUUGUCUCGGAAAUGGAUGUAUCUAGAACUAAAAUACAUCUAGAUAAAUCCAUUUUCUGCGACAAGUAAUUCCGAACGGAGGGAGUAGAUGUUAUCGGUACAAAGUGCCUAAACUACUUAAACCAAUCUUCUUUGCGUUUCCCGUUCCUUAGAUACCAAUCUUCUUUAAACGCCCUGCGGACGUCAAAAUAGCAAAAUCUAGACGCAUAUGGGGAAAAAAUGGGCACAUGGCAUGCACAUGUGUCUACCAACUUAAUCGAAAGCAUGGUGGAGGGGCGAUGACGGCGGCGCGCCUUCGGCUCGCUUCAGUGCUGGUAGCUGUCGCUAGGUGGUCUACGGAUCUGGAUGUAAUUUUUAUUAUUUCUGGUAUUCGUUGUACUGCCAUGAUUGAAGAUGAAUAGAUCGGAAAUUUUCUCGCAAAAAAAAAAUUUGCUCAUAGCAUUUUCUUUUCCUUUUUUGAGAAACCAUAGCAAAAAAAAAAGAAAUUUAGGGGCACCAUAGCACUUUUGCUUUUUUUGGGAGCAAUUUUGCUGAAACCGGCACCUGCACAAACCGGCAGGCCAGGUCGGGGAGCGAACGUCGGGGGACUCGGAGCAGCGGGGCAGCAGGGCGCCGAUCCCUAGGCGCAGAGCACCGUGCCCCACGUGCGGUGGGCCCGGGGCACAGGCUGCCCCCGCACGCCCUCUCUCCCCUCGCCCCUAUCGCGGAGGCCCGGAGGAAAAACAAUAAUAAAUAGUAUCUCGGAGCGCGAAAUGACGGCCCUGCCCCUGCCUCCCCGUGAAACCCCCGCCCGUCCGUCCAGCCGGAACGGAACGGAACGGAACGGAGACCCUGCACGCGCGUCGGCGUCGCGGCCUCGUGACGAUGGGACGGGAUUUGGUUAACUAAUCAGCGGCGGGCAGGGCCCACCCACCUGCGGCUGCGGGCUGGAUGUAUUUGGAUCAGGCCGGUGAGGUGUCACUCGGCGUCGCUUUCGCGUGAUGGGACGGAACGGAACGGGACGGGACGGGCGGGUGCUCGCUUGAUGAUUAAAAUGAGUAGCACACGACGGGGAAUCCGUGUGCUGGAGAACAGUUUUGGAGGGAGCGUGCACAGUGAGUGAUGGAUCGAUGGGCGUGUGGAUCCCCAUCCGAUCCAAUCAAGGGCGACCGAAUCUUGUUCCAGCGGCUGCAGGGGAGGAUAACAUAUUGAUUCUUUUUUAUAUUAUAUUAUUAUACGGCGCAAAAGCUAAGCGAACAGAUGGUAUUGAUUCUUUUUUCUUUUGGAGGGAAAAGGGAAAAUGCGAGGCGAUAAUUACGAGGCAGUAAUAAGAGGAAGAGGAACAAGAAGCAAAAAGGAUUGAGAAAAUGGCAAAACAAAUGAGGUCCCACCGAGACUUGAACUCGGGUUACUGGAUUCAGAGUCCAAUGUCCUGACCACUAGACCAUGGGACCAUUUGAUGCACAGGAAAGAGAUUUUGUUUACUUAAAUCAAGUGUCGUCCAACCCCAUUAACUAAUUCCAAGUGCAGAACCCAGCGCCAUCGGUCCAAUUAGCUAACUGCGGGUCAAAACAGGAAGUUUAAACCCACUUAUCUGACUUAAAAGCUCUGCCGAUUCAGUCACGCAGCAAACGAUAUGUGGUUGGCUCUGCAGAUGUCUGGUUCGUCACUUGCUCUGCAGAUUGUAAUACUGAGGUUAUCUGCAUCAUCGGUAGAUUAAUGUGUGAACCAGUUAGUUAGCAACAAGCUUUGCAUGCAUUUUCCUUGUAUUGGGCACGGUAUCGUCCCUUCUUCUCGAUGCCAUCCACAUUCCAAGGUGUUACAACAUCAUAGGAGUUAAGGGCAUCUUCAAACAGACCCUCAAACCGCCUGUAUCCGUUCGGAUCACGCGCUACAGACGUGUUUUGCCAUCUAAAGGGGGAAUAUAUUGGUCCGCCGACCUGUCCGGAUGCAUUUUUUCCCGCAAUUUGAAGCAAAUUAGGGGGGCUUUGUAGGAGUCCGGACAACAGCUACANNNNNNNNNNNNNNNNNNNNNNNNNNNNNNNNNNNNNNNNNNNNNNNNNNNNNNNNNNNNNNNNNNNNNNNNNNNNNNNNNNNNNNNNNNNNNNNNNNNNNNNNNNNNNNNNNNNNNNNNNNNNNNNNNNNNNNNNNNNNNNNNNNNNNNNNNNNNNNNNNNNNNNNNNNNNNNNNNNNNNNNNNNNNNNNNNNNNNNNNNNNNNNNNNNNNNNNNNNNNNNNNNNNNNNNNNNNNNNNNNNNNNNNNNNNNNNNNNNNNNNNNNNNNNNNNNNNNNNNNNNNNNNNNNNNNNNNNNNNNNNNNNNNNNNNNNNNNNNNNNNNNNNNNNNNNNNNNNNNNNNNNNCUCCCGGACUCAUUCUCUUCCACUCCGCCCCUUCCCCCCUUACUUUGCAUUCGCCACUGUUGUACCUCUCUGGCCGCCACCCAGGCAUUGCCGGACACCCGCAACCACCACCCACGCGCCCGCUCACCUCAUACUAUGGGCGUCGUCCACCAAAGAUCCGUGCGCAGCCACAUACCCUCUCCCCCCCUGUUGGAUGGCGGGGGCGCUCGAGCAUGGAGGAUGAGUUGUUGUGCAAUGCGUGGUUGGCCAUAUCCACGGAAUUCAUAGGCAGGAGCAGAAGGGAGCGGAAUGCAUAAUUUGUUUCACACGCGGAAGCACAUUGCGUCAUACGAUAUGCACAUCAUUCAUGAAUGCAAUGUGUAGUCGUCAGUGUAUCGAUGUUACAUCAUCUAGACUGCCGUCGCCAAGUUUUGAGGCGCGGUUGAUCGGUUGGAGGCAAGGUGGCCAUUUGCGCGCAACAACCAUGGAUAUCGUAAGUUUUGCUUCUUCUUGCUCAACUUGUUAAUCCAUUCAUUCACUCAAUGUUGCUCUACACAUUGUGUAGAUAGUACGUGUUGUCGUGAUGUACCACGGGAUAAAGGGACGACCAUUUACACACAUACAUUGUUGCACGAAGCUCAAGGGGCAGUAUGUGUGGGAUGAUGUGAUCCGUUCAUGAAAAACUUGUUGAACAUCCGGUUAAUCUCAUUGAAUUUGAACUAUUGUUGUGCUAGACUUUUUUGCAUGCCAUGUAUGGAUGAUUUGUACUGUUUUUCUAUCCAAACUUUGAUGAAUUCCAUCAUUUUGAUGAGUUUUGUCCGAUUAGUUGAAAUGCGGUUUGAAAUGUAUGCGGAUAGCGGAUGGCCGGUUCCCGCGUCCGUGUCCGCAGACUGCCCCCCUAUUCACGGACGGAUGUGGUGUCCGGAUUGCAGGUCAGCGUUGAAGAUGCCCUAAUUGCCCAAAACUAUCACAUUUGUUGUUAAGUUUGGAGAAAACCAUGGUAGGGAUUUUAAUUCCCUAGACCUGUCGCAAUUUGACAUUGUCUCCGUCCUAAGGCGAGCAGAGAUACUGGUCUCCACUCCGGCAAUGUGUGAGAGAUAGUGAUCUCUCCUCCGUCCUCGGCUUGGUUGUCUUGACAUAACAGACGCUGUUCCUCUCAUCCUCCGUCUGGUGCGUCCCUACGGCCUCUACGCAUGCUGAUCCUCUUCGGCGUGGAGUUCACCUUCGACCCUAUCUUGUUGUUUUCUUUGGGGGCAGUUGUGUUUGGGUUUCUCUAGAUAGCAUCUACGUACUCGCUGCAUGCAUUUCUUGCAUGUAUCAAGUUUGUGUCUUUGUAUUCAACACCACUGUAUCCCCUAGUUAGUUGAUGGUUUCACUAAUUUGAAGUUGGACUAUAUGACUUUUCUCUAAAAAAAUCUUUUGAAGUUCCUAUCUGAACUUGCCCCUUGUCUACCUUGAUGACCAUUUUCACUUGAUUUCAUCCUCGCACGGGCUACCCUGAAGCCUUUCUUUCGAUGCAGACCCAUGAGAAUUAUCUAACCAAUACAGACAUAGAAAACAUAUUGUACGUAUUAGUUCAAUAAAUGAUUCAUAAUUUCUUACCAUACCACUCAAGCCCAUGUGGAUAACUUGCGCUUGUGAGUUGACCUCUAUAGUUUGAUCUUUCAUCUUUAUCUUUACUCCACGAUCAAAUUUGAUGUCUUGAAGGUCAUAUAGAUUUGCAUAUAACUCAUCACUGUUUCUAGUUGAUCUUGGGUGGUUCUCUACGAGAGAACCUCCGGAAUGUUGUUAGCUUCAAUAAGAGCCCAAGUUCAUCCAAAGCGGAGUUUGAUUGUGGAAAUUUGGCCAAAAUGAUAAAACACGUGCAACAAAUUUUGCACCAUUGGACAAUCCAGUCAGGUGCAUCGACGGAUUAGAAACCUUCCAUGAGGCCAGACAAUCUGGUCAUUUUGGACCAGACAGUCUGGCCAUUUUGGACCAGCCAGUCCGAGUGCAUAAAAAAAAAGUCCAAUAGGCAGAUUUGGGUAUGGAAUUUCCCAUUUCUUUUGCUCUUUGUUGAUCUUAAUAUUUUCAUCAUUUGAAAUCAAUGAUAUUGACGUAUAUCUUCAUCUUGAUGCCAUUCAUUCCAAAACAUCCAAUUUCCUUAUUGCAUCACACAUGAAACAUGUCGUCAUACAUAGGGGACGACAUAUAAUUGGAGAAAGAAGAAGACUAGUAUUAUCUUGAACACAUUUUUCUAGUGACUGUUCUGUGUCCAACAGUUUUUUCCAUUGCACUGGUUAUUGUUUUCCACGAUAAUUAUCAGAUCUAAAGAGUCGGUGUGUUUUCCUAAAAAACUGUUGCUUUACACGUCAUUGCAAAUACCUUAAUCUCCAGUGAGGAUAAUUAUCAUUGGCCUUUUCUCUAGACCCGAGUAAUGUCGUGUUGGGCUCGCACUUCUCCUUGGCCCCGGCAUGGACAACCCGGCCCGAAAGCCAGGCCGGGUUCGGGCUUAGCUUUUCCACCCGAAGCCUGGCCUGAAAGCCCGAAAAGGGCAUUAAUCACUAUUUUACUACAAAUGUAGGUAUAAUAAUAUAUCAUUUAAAUGUCCUGAAAUUAAUUGUUUUAAUUUAAAAAGAACACUGUUCAUGUGUUUCGGGCCGGGCCGGGCCGGGCUAGGGCUUGAGAUUUUGGGAACGAUCUAGACAAAGCCCGGCCCGACGAAUGCCCGGGUUUACUUUCCCUCAUGGCAAAGCAGGGAGACGUAUUUCCCCAAACCCGCCUUCCUACGAGUGCCGCUAACAACCACGCCCUCACUCACUGGCCACCUGAAACAGAAACAGAAACAGAAAGAUUCUCUCUUUCAAGUCCGGCCGGCGGCUAAACCCAAACCCCCGAGCCCGAUGUCGCCGGCGGCGACGCGCAUCCUGCUCGCGGGCGCCCGGCGCCGCGGCCGCGGCCUCUCCACGUCGGCCGAGCCCUCCCCCUCCCCCUCCCUGUCCCCCUCGCAGCUCCCGAGCGGCAAGCGCUGGGACGCGGUGGUGAUCGGCGGCGGCCACAACGGGCUCGCGGCCGCCGCCUACCUCGCGCGCGCCGGCCGCUCCGUCGCCGUGCUUGAGCGUCGGGGCGUCCUCGGCGGCGCCGCCGUGUCCGAGUCGGACCUCGUCCCCGGCUUCCGCUUCUCCCGCUGCAGCUACCUCCUCAGCCUCCUCCGCCCCGCCCUCAUCCGGUAAACCGUCGUCUCCCGAUCCCCUCCUCUCCCGGCGAUCGAUCUCAACCUCCAUUUCCGUCGGAUUUACUUACGAACCGGGCCCCUGUUCCGUACCUGAAUUCUGAAAUUCUGUGAGGAUGUAUGUACUGAAGAACUGAUACUGCUGCUACUGAUGAUGGAUGAUUCAGGGAGCUGGAGCUGGAGAGGCACGGGCUGAAGCUCCUGCCGCGGAGCCCGUCGUCGUUCACGCCGUGCCUCGACGGCCGGUACCUGCUCCUCGGCCCGGACGCGGAGCUGAACCGCUCCGAGAUCGGCAAGUUCUCCAAGAAAGAUGCAGAGGCAUACCCGAGGUGACUGACAGACAGACAGACAGACAGACACACCAAGAAUUCACUGUGGUUUCCUCUGCGCGUUUGAGCUUGGAUUGGUCUUUACACUAGCACUGGGUUUGAUGUGUGAGUGUAGGUACGAGGAGCAGCUAGAGAAGUUCUGCAAGCUCAUGGACUUCGUCAUAGACUCGCCUCCACCGGAGCUGAGGCAGCUGUACCAUGCCUCCAUGGUCGACAGGAUGAAGGAUAAGGUGGACAAGUCAGUGUUCUGGAGCAAGCUUCUUGGCCUUGUGAUGCAACAGGGGCAACAGGACAUGGUGUGAGUGCUAAAUACAUCACCCCUCUUAGUGAUGUUAUUGUUGCAGACAUUUGCGAACAAUGCAGUGUGUAAAGUUGAAUCUUUUUUACACUGGCAGGAACUUCUUCGACCUUCUUCUGUCGCCAGCGUCGAAGAUCUUGAAUAACUGGUUUGAGGUUGAAAGCUUGCUUCCCUCUUAUCUGAAACACUUCUCUUCUGUCUUCACAAUGAUCAUAUGGAGAAAGCUGUAUUGCAUUUGACUAUCUACACAUGUCGGAUGAGAAUAACUUCUUGAGUUCUUGUGCUGACCGCUCUAGUACUACAGGGUGAUGUAUUGAAGGCGACCCUGGCGACUGAUGCCGUGAUAGGUACUAUGGUAAGGGUGCAUUGCUUAAUCCACAUUUUGUUGCGCCUAAUGCAUUAGUGUUUGACCAUUGCGUCUCCUUGUAUAGGCUGGUGUGAACACUCCAGGAUCAGGAUAUGUUCUCCUGCACCACAUCAUGGGGGAAACUGGUGGUCAACGUGGUGUUUGGGCGUAUGCUUCUGACCAUAUCCAUGUUAUUCUGUUCCACCAUAAAACAGUGUAGUUAGCAAAAACCCAUAGGAUAAUGUAGCCUUGAUUGUUCUACGUACACUUGAAACGGAAUUAAGGAUUGCUGGUGUUUAUCUCCACUGGCUAGGAAACAACUUUUCAGUUGCCUUAGAGUCAGUUUCAAGGGGUGAUGUCACAGAAAAUGUCAUCACACUCUACCCAAAUUUGUUGGUGUUGCCACUUUUAGUUCUUUAUUUAGUUGGUGUCUUCUUUUACCUUUCUUUCUCUUUUUCAGAAAACCUUUCAUUAAUUUUUUUUUUUACACUUGCAGGUAUGUCGAAGGUGGUAUGGGUUCAGUCUCAUCAGCUAUAAGCAAAGCAGCCCUCGAAGCAGGCGUGCAAAUUGUAACAAAUGCUGAGGUGCAUUUUCUCUUCUUGUGCAAGCCCUCUUUGUUCCAUGUCGAUCAUGUUUGGCUGAACAAAUGAUUAAAAUCAAAGCAGAUCAGAAAAAAAACUGGGUUUUACAUUGAAGAAGUCAUUAAUUAUGUAGUCGCAUAAUUAUAAUUGUGCGACCAAUUUUUUAUUUGGCGUUUCUUGCCUGAUUUGCCCCAGUUUUUUUUGCAUAGGUUUCGCAAGUAAUGGUCGAUGAAAAUACUGGAAAGGUGCAAGGGGUAAGUCUUGGACUAAUCAGCAAGUGUAUGUGCACUGUGUAGUUCAUUUCUUUCUACCUCUUGAAGGUUUGAGAAUCUGUAGGUUGCUUUGGCUGAUGGAACCGAGUUGCACUCAUCAGUUGUGUUAUCAAAUGCCACACCAUAUAAAACAUUUGUGGUAAGAAUCACUCUGAAUAUGUAGCGGUGUGAAGAUUUUUAGCUCUAAUUUUGCAGGCAUAAUUAGAAAAUAUCCUCUAAAUUGACACCUGGUUUUAUUUGCAGGACCUUGUGCCAGCCAAUACUCUUCUAGAGGAGUUCCUCUGUGCCAUCAAGACAGCAGAUUAUAGCUCCGUAAGUACUUAGUUACUAGCUUAUUUAAAUAAAAGAAUUACAUUGGUGGUGUGCAUUCUUACAAAUAUACGAUGAUAACCUUGUUCAUUUACUUGUAUAGUCUAGCUAUUAUCCUCGCAUUUCAUUAGUAUGGAUGCCAAAAUUUUCUUAAGUAAAUAGAACUCGUGAUUGUGGGAAACAGACUAUUCAUAGCAAUGUUAUAUAGCAUCUGAAAAUUCUUACGUGCAAAGCUAUUUAUGGUCCACAUUGACUUUCAGUAACCAACUUGUAAUAUUGUUGCUAACUAUGCUCUCUGGAGAACAGGCAACAACGAAGAUCAACGUUGCUGUUAAUGCGCUGCCACAGUUUCGCUGUUGCAAAAACAUCAACCCUAAAGGUGGCCCGGAGCACAUGGGCACCAUACACAUUGGAUCUGAAAGGUAAUUAAGUUAGGGAAUAUUUCCUACUUUGGCACAUAUUUAUCAACUGUGUCCAUUGUUCUUCUGCAUAUCUGUGGACAAGCAACAAUCUACGAGACACUGUUUGUUAUCUUGGUCCUGUUCAUGUAUAGCAGGGCAAGGAAAAUAAUCUCUUAAUUCAACAUUGUCACUCUUCAAUAGGAAAUUCUGCUGUUUACAUUUAGUGUUCCUUGCUUGUCAUGUCAACCUGAUGCACCAACUUGGUAGCCUACAUCUAUGUUUCGAAGUAUAUGUUAUUGCUAGUACCUCAGGAUAAUAAAGAGCAUAGUCUGGCCAGGCUAAGCAGUCAUAAGAUGUCCGAGUUGUGGAUUAGUGUUUUCAUUCUUCGAAGGAAAAAGCUAGAUCAUCUGGCAAAUCAAUUCUUUGUGUGAGACGAUUUUUGUAUAAUUCAGCAGUCACUUUUUCAGACUUAAGCCUUGUUAUAUCUCAAUAUGGAACUUUUACUUGCUCUUCAGCAUGGAGGAAAUCGAUAUAGCAUACAAGGAAGCUGCAGGCGGCUUCUCAUCCACAAGGCCUGUUAUAGAAAUGACAAUUCCUUCAGUCUUAGAUAAGACCAUCUCUCCACCAGGUAUGUCACUUUCUUUUGCUUCCCCAUAAUUUCAUCUGAGUAAGUUUACUAUUCUGCAAUAUUUAAUUAUAAGGAACCUGUUCUAUGUACACUAAAUUUACAUUUUAGAGUUAAUGUGUUGAAGGUCAUUUUCGAUGUUUAUAAUGUUGUGAUCUUCCAUAUUGUGUAUAUACUUCACAUGGACUUAUGGACUGACUCGUAUUCCAUCUUUCACUUUAAUCCUUUGGAUAGGUCAGCAUGUUAUUAAUCUGUUUGUUCAGUACACACCCUACAAACUGUCAGAAGGCAGUUGGCAGGAUCCGGCUGUUCGAGUAAGUUGAUCCUUCUUACAUUUUGAUUUCAUGAUGCACUGUAUGUUUAAUCUUUGCCCAAACACAAAUGAAAUAUAUGAUAAAAUUGAUAACCUUGCCCUUGGGCAUUGUGAUCCAUCACUGUGUGGAGAGAAUGAUUUUUCUGAAAUUAGAUCCACCUACCGACCAUUGACCAUUUUGAUCGACACCAAUUUUCAGAAAUCAUUUGCUGAGAGAUGCUUUUCCUUGAUCGAUGAGUAUGCACCACACUUUAGCUCAUCAGUGAUAGGCUAUGACAUGCUGACUCCACCUGAUCUUGAAAGGGAGUUUGGCCUAACAGGUAAUAUCCCUUGGUAUUAUGUAUUUUCUUUUGUAAGCUGUGUGCCCGCAGACCGGAUACCGUUUCGUAUUGUUCCUUCUUACCAGUUGAAAAACUUAGCUAAGCAGAGACGAUUCACAUUUCUCAGGUGGCAACAUCUUUCACGGCGCGAUGGGCUUGGAUUCCCUCUUCCUAAUGAGGCCUGCCAAGGGAUGGUAUGUUGGAGUCACAUGCAUAUUAAGUUGUGCUCUGGCCUCUUCUACGACACAACCUUUGACCCUUCCAAGGUUCAAAACCUGUUCCGCUUUGUGAUAAUGGCUAACCUGUUUCGCUUUGCACCAUACAGGUCAGAUUACAGAACCCCUGUGAAGGGGCUGUACCUCUGCGGCAGUGGUGCGCACCCAGGCGGCGGGGUGAUGGGUGCCCCGGGCCGCAAUGCCGCUGCUGUGGUUUUGGAUGAUCUCAAGGCAAGAUAGAUGCAAUUAACGGAAGAUGGAAACGGCAGCUGACACUAGGGUAACAUUUUCAAGCACAAGGCUGCAUGCAAAAGCAGCACCAGUGUGUAAUCUCUUGUACCGAAAUGCGAACCUUGUCGUUAAGCCAUCUGGUAGAGACCAUUUUGUCAUGCAUACUUACAUGAUAAAAAAGAUGAGACAUGAGAAGCAUUUUUCUGAAUGAAUUGUUGCAGCUGUUCUCAUUUUGGCUCUCUUAUCAGAGGGCUCAAAGGGAUUAAUUCUCAGUUACGCGGUUACAUCAAUUUUCUUCGGUAUGAAGUAGUUUCUCAAUGCAGUCUGCCGAACCUUCAAUUUGGUUAAAUGUGAAGAGGAGUAGAGUUUGUGAAUCUAAGUCUUAAUAAGGCCUGAUUGGCGGUGUUUAAUAAUACAACGGACAUCCAUGAACUUCUCACCCUUCUUCAUGCAAUUGUCACCAUUUUCUUCUCUUCUGGCAAGAGGAAAUAAAACAUGCAAAUAGAAUGAUCUCAUGUUUUCGCAGCGCUUAUUGUAUGACGGAAGAGACUGUAACAGAAACCUGGCUCUUGAAUGAUUUGCUCAACACUCAUCGCAAGGACUUCUCGUUGUUCCUCAUGCGAUUGACAUUAGACUACUCACUGCAUGAAGUUUUCACUAUCUUUUCUUCUCUUCCUGCACGAGGAAACAAAACAUGGAAAUAUAAUGAUCACAUGAUUUUGCAGCCUGUACUCAUAUGAACACGCUUCUUGAAUGACUUGAUCAAUGCACUUAUUGCAUGCCUUGCUAACAAUGUUGCAUCGUUAAUGCCCUAUAUAUAUCCAGCUUAUAUCCAGCUGCCUUAGAAUCUGGGUGUCAAAGGUCCAGUGUUGUAUCGUUAGUAUGUCUGUUUUAGUGUCCGGUCUAUGGGAUACUCUGGAGUGAAAUAUUGGAGGAAAACAAAAUAUAAUGGUAUUUCCUGAUAUACUCCUGCAUUACCAAAAACCUUGGAUUCAUCAACCCCAACCUGGAUCACAGCCGCAUUCAUGUUCGCAAUGGAGCUCGCCUUCAGUCACUUCGCCGUCGCAGCGGCGACUGUUGUAUUCAGCAGCACCAUCUGGCAGCUCCGCCACACCCCAGCCUUCCUCCCGCUAAAGCGCCACACAAUCUAGGCAAUACACGCUGCACCGCAUUGGAAGAACCUCGCCUCUGCCCGGACAAAUGAGUAAAUUCUCACCAAUCGUCUUCGCCGGAGAGGCACGACACUCGGAGGAGCGUCUAGCACACACCACUGCGGGUCGGGCCUUCCUGGUGGGAGGCAGGGAGAUAAAAACAUCCGUGACAUCUUCUGCGAGCUUGUUCAGAUGUCCGUUCUCACUUUUUGUGGCUAAAUGCCCACCGUGAAGGUUGGCAAUAUGCUCACCAACUCGCAAAGCCAUGCCGGAGUAUCAGACUAGUUCGAGCUUAGCGACGGAGCAAACCUGUCAAGCUUCCGCAUAUAACAUCAAGGGGGAUCCACUUCCCUAUGAUCUGGUUGUACACAUAUCCGCAAUGACACUCAACCUUCUCCAAGCAUUCACGAGGGCAUUUAGUAUAUAGGGCAAGGAAAGUGAUCUUUUAAUUCAAUGGUGUCACUCUUCAAUAGCAAAUUAUACUGUUUACAUUUAGUGUUCCUUGCUUGUCAUGUCAAUUUGAUGCAGCGAUUUGUUAACUUAAAUCUAUGUGUUGAAGUAGUUAGUACCUUAGGAUAAUAAAGAUUAAAGAGCAUAGUCUUUCCAUGCUUAGUUAUAACAUGUCCAAGUAAUAGAUCAGCCUUUUCAUUCUUCCUAAGGAAAAAGCUACAUCAUGAUCUGGCCACUUAUUCUAUUGCGUGAGAUGAUUUUUGUAUAGUUGUGCAGUCACUUCUUCAGACCUAAUCCUUGUCACAUUUCAACAUGGAACUUUUACUUGCUCUUCGGCAUGGAGGAAAUCGAUGUAGCAAACAAGCAAGCUACAGGUGGGUGUCUCAUCCACAAGGCCUGUAAUAGAAAUGACAAUUCCUUCAGUCUUAGAUAAGACCAUCUCUCCACCAGGUAUGCCAUUUUUCUUUUGCUUCCCCAUAACUGAAAUUUUGUAAAUUUACUACCAUGUGAUAUUUAAUUUCACUACCCCGAUGAACCAAGAAAUGUGCAUGGAACCUGUUCUAUGUAACGUGCAGAGAGGUACUGCCGUGGCAGCAAGUACAAAAUUACAUAGGCACGGUGCAAUGUGCAGAGAGGUAGGAGCGCCACCACGAGAAGACGUCCUUCUUGUCUUGUGUUUCCACAAGACGAUGAGACCACAUGUCCAAAUCAGAAAUAAGGUUCCUAAGGGUGAUUACAGAGCUUUGAUCGAUAUUCCUAAACACCAUGUCAUUACGUGCUGCCCAAAUCUUCCAUAAUAAUGCCAUGAGGACCAAGGGCCAUGCUGUGGUAGAGAGAAGAGGACGUAGAUUGAUGUCCCAGAGCUCCGUGAUGUCGUCGGCUUGUGGCAAAAACCCAAGACGUUGCCAAAUCCUAUUGGCAAGAGGACAUGUGAUGAAAAGGUGGCUGGAGUCUUCAGGUAAUCUAGCACACCGGGGGCAUAUAUAUCUGAAGAGAUUAUAUGCUUGUGUGCAAGAUUGACCCUAGUAUUGAGACGGUCUUUGAAGAGUAGCCAGGCAAAGACUUUAAGCUUUCGAGGAGCCUUGGCGCUCCAAAUGAGGGGAGCAACGAGAUCGUUAUCUAGCCGAGCCAUGAGGGCACCGUACGCGUGCCUGGCGGUGAAGCAAAUGCCAUGUUGUAGGAACCGUUGAUCUUCUCCCGCCGAGGGCAUGAAGUCCUGCAAAAUAGCCAGAAGCGAAACAAGCUCUUGUUCUGCCAUGAGAGUGAGACGAUUACGGAGGUUAGCUCGGAUACUGAAACACCAAAUAUUAGCCACUUUAACCAGCUCUAGGGUGGAGUGUGAAAACAGGUGGGGGAAGGUGAUGGCAAGGGGUUGUGGGGUUAGCCAAGUGUCAAGCCAGAAAUAAGUAUGUGAGCCAUUGUUUGUUAGCACGAACGAGAUAGUUUGUAGGGUAGGGAUUUGUUGUGAAAUUGUGCGGCAAAGAAAGGAGGUUUGAGGGGAUGAUGAAACUAGGGCGUUGGGGUGUUGGAGAUCAAGCCACUCUAACCAAGGUGUCUGUGCGGAGGAGAGUGCUUUGGCGGCAAAUUUCAUGAGGAGGCAAUUGUUUUGGACCUGCAGGUUUUUAAGCCCUAAACCACCGAAUUUUUUUGGUAAGCAAACAUUUUUCCAUGCAAUAAGACAUUGAGCACCUGAGCAAGCAUCUUCCCCAGCCCAAAAAAACGCCCUUCUCAGAGAGUCAAUUGUUUUGAGUGCUUUCUUGGGGAUGCGAAAUAUUGACAUGAAAUAGGUGAGGAUUGAGUCCAGAACAACAGAAAUGAGGAUGAGCCGAUUGCCACCUCUUUGUUCAGUACACACCUUACACACUGUCGGAAGUCAGUUGGCAGGAUCCGAUCUUAGAGUAAGUUGAUCCGCCUUACGUUUUAGUCUAAUGAUGCACUGCGUGUUUAAUCUUUGCACUUCACCACAGCCCACACUUCUUCCUGUGUAUACUGCCUCGCAAAUAAUUUCUACUCAUACCUUAAAAGAGUAGACGACGAUGCCCUUGCCCUAAGGCAUUGUGAUCCGUCACUGUGCGGAGAGAACUAUUUCUCUGAAUUUGGGUCCACCUACCGAUCAUCGACCAUUUUGAUUGAUACCAAUUUUCAGAAAUCAUUUGCUAAAAGAUGAUUUUACUUGAUCGGUGAGUAUGCACCGCACUUCAGUUCAUCAGCGAUAGGCUAUGAUAUGCUGAGUUGCUGACCCACCUGAUCUUGAAAGGGAGUUUGGCCUAACAGGUAAUAUCUCUUCGUACUAUGUAUGCAUUUAUCUUUUGUAAGCCACACACACACACGCAGACCGGAUACCAUUAUGUAUCAUUCCUUCCUUUUACCAGUUGGAAUUUUUUAGCUAAAGGAGAGACGAUUCACAUUUCCCAGGUGGCAACACAUCUUUCACGGCGCGAUGGGCUUGGGUUCCCUCUUCCCGAUGAGGCCUGCCAAGGGACGGUAUGUUCGAGUCACAUGCAUAUUAAGUUGUGCUCUGGUCCCUUCUACUUCACAAACUUUGAUUCUUUUAAGGUUCAAAACUCAUGCCUUUGUGAUAAUGGCUGACCUGUUUCUCUUUGCACCAUAGAUGUCAGAAUGCAGAACCCUUGUGAAGUGGCUCUACCUCUGCGGUAGCGGUGCGCACCCAGGCGGCAGUGGGGUGAUGGGCACCCCGGGCCGCAACGCUGCUGCCAUGGUUUUGGAUGAUCUCUAGGCAAGAUAGAUGUAAUUCAUGGAAGUUGGCAGCUGGCACUAGAGUAGCAUUUUAAGCUCAAGGCUGAAAAAGCAAGAGUACCUGUGAUGUUGUAAUCUCUUGUAUCAGAAUGCGAGCCUUGUUGUUAAGCCAUCUGGUGGAGACACGUUUAUCAUGCAUACUUACAUGAUUGAAACGAGGAGUCGUGAGAAGCAUUUUCUGAUGCAGAGGCCGGGGGUCUUCCUCAUUUUCAAAAAAAGAAAAGAAAAGAAGAGAGAAGCAUUUUCUGAAUGAACUGCCUGUGUAGCUAUUCUCAUUUCGGUUUUCUUAUUGGAGCCGAUUACUCCCAGUUAUGUGCUUGCGUCUAUUUUUUCUUUAUCAGUAGAUUCUCCCAAACCUCCAGUUUGAUCAAUUAUGAAGAAGAUGAAAAGGAUGGUUGGGAAAAAACAACACGAAGGUUCCAACAAUCUGAUACAUGUUAAGAUUAAUGGCCGACUAGAUCAGAAUCGCGCCUUGGCGCGAGGGUGCCGGUCCAACGUUUUUGAGAAGCAGGUGAUGCUAAGUCAAUAGUAAUCCAGAUUUAGCAUAUGCAUUCACAUAAGAUAAGUCAGUAGUAAUCCACGUUUAGCAUAUGCAUGAUAACGAUGCAGUGAAGAAAAAACAUUCAACUGUUAUAGGAGCGAGACAUAGUGGUGCUCAAUAUCGGCAUGAGUCUAUAAGGCAAAAUCAAUUUCAAUGCGUUCAUAAGACCACUCGACAGAAAGUUCGAAACCAAUAGCGCACCCACUCAACAGGAAGUGCGGCUUGACGCACCCAACUUGACCCUGUCAUAUCCAGUCCACCAAAACAAUAACACAGAUGGGUAAAACACUAUUAAUAACGACUAUAACCACAAUGAGUCUGCCAUUGCAGGUAUAUACUUACACCACAACGAGCUUUACAUUGCAAUAUAUACACUUACACAUUGGCUGAUAACACGUUUUAGGGUGGACAGGUAAGGCGAGACUCGAUACAACUUACCAACCACUAUCAUUAUCACUUAUAGUCUCAAAAGUGGUAUGUUGAGCAAUAAAAAUGAACAACUCCUGUAGGGUAAAGGGCAAGCUUUGCUAAAGUCACUUCGUCUGGGUCAACCGCAAGGAUCCGAUGCUCAUAGCAAAUAAAACAGCAUGUGACAAUGAUAUUGUGGAGUUGUUUCAUGGGGAGCAAGUCCUUGAUGCUUCUUCCUGUAGUUUGUCAAGUAUUUCAGGAUGCUGCAGUUCCAAUUCCUUAUUUCAAACUACAAAACAGAACCACAAUGAAAAAAUGAUUAGCAAAUUGGUUCAAGAAUAUCGAACAAAAAUACCCACUUUCACUUUAGCUUAUCUUUGAUAUCUUGUUUUUUUUGUUUACCUAUGAUUUCUUUUGCAAGUCAGUCAUAUAAGAACAAAGAUAAAUCACAGAUGACAUAUACGACAAAAUAUUAUAGAAAUGUACAAAUAGUAACUGAUUGAAAGAGAAAGCUAGUUAAAACGCUUAAUUAGACUGAGCACAUACAUAACUGGAAGGGAAAUGAAUUUGCCUUAGACAAUGAAAUUUCAUUAUAAGAUGAAACAACACAAAAUAACUAUCUGGCUAAUGAUAAUUGUUUCACUCAUUUACCUGUUGAAAUAUCCCUAGUUGGAUUGUCUUGGAUCUUCCUGGGUUCUGCCAUUCGGAAAAGUGCAACAUGGACGGCCAGAAAACCAUAGUUGCACCCACACGUCGGUUGUAGUUCCUACAACGCGCGUACUUUGCAUCAGACAAACAAAUCUUGCUAAGAAUCGCACUGAACAUAGCCCUUGGCCUGACCGUGAUAGCAGUCAUCUCCUUCAAAAGGCAAAUGAAGUUAACAAAAUGCAAAGGCACACCCACAUGCUUGUAGUUGUAGGAGUAAUUCAGAGAGGAAGCAGUGCAUGUUUUCACUAAUUAUUUAUUCCCGAAUAUCAGACUAUAAUACUUGGUAUGGAACCAUUAACCAUUCAUGCAACGAAUACAUUAAUUGCAAAAUCAAACAUUUGCCUUUCUAACAUGGUGACCAGAUUACCUAUACUACAAUCAAAAGUAUGAUAUACUACGAUAGAUAUGCAUACACCUCAAUGUCUUACCACACAAUUAUACAUAAAAUUAACCAGUGAAAUGAGGCUAGGACCUAGCGGCUGUAGCAAGGGAUUCAAUCGAACAGACGUUGGGGCUAAACACUGGUCAUUGGGGUUGGUGAAUGGAACAGGCAGGUGAUUCCAACCAUUAACAAAGCUACUCCAAUCUUCUUAAUCACGACAACAUAUAAAGGCAGGAGGCUCACCUUGUUGUUGUAGGUUGGCGAUGAGGCAGUAGCUGCAAGAUCAGAGAGGCCGUUAGUUGGGGAGAGGAGGAGGCCGAAGCGAGCUCGUUCCGGUCGGUGGCAACGGGAUUUAUCUGGAAGGCAGCUCCUGGGCGCCUUGCACGGCGUAUCAAAGGCUGCUCACCUCGGGCCAUCCGGGCCAUCCUAGGAAGAGCAAAACUGCGCUGGCAUUAGUAUUCGUACCUUUGCUUGUUCAGAACUUUGGAUCAAAAUAUAAUUGCACCUGUCACAACAAUAUAACAUGAAUACACAUGUGCAUUUGUGUGUCUCAUAUAUUUGUUUAGAGCAGAACUUGUCACAGACACGCGCGCGCGCACACACGCACACACACACACACACACACAUUGGAAACAAUAGUAUUUAAUUUGGUGGCACUGAAAAUCAAGGAAAAUAGCGCUACUAACAGAGGCUAUAAAAUCAUUCCAAUGAAAAUCAAAAAGCUGGGACAGUCAUCAAAUUAUCAUGGCAUUGGCAUCUCACAAAGACAUGUCAUCUCAGCUUUCAAUCCAUAAGAAAAUCGAGAUUGAGAGAUAGACGGACAUGUACGUCAUCGGCAGUCACUUCAACGAGUUCUACAUGGAAGUUGUCUGUCUCUUCGGUGUGGCGGAGGUUGUGCCUCUCUUGCUGAGCACCAAUUGGCAUAAUAAGGUUCAUGAUGUUUGAACAAGUAAUACAGGUAGAUUUUGCAUAAUAUGGCAGCGCACCAUAUCUCACAAUUAGAAUACAUUAUAAUAUUGAAAACAGAAAAUGAAGUGACCAAUUAGACUACUCCAAUUUAGGUGACUACAUUCUAUAGUUUAAAUUCAAAAGUUAGGCUUCUCCCUAAAGCAUACACUCAAAUAGGGGGCAUUUAAAAAGAAUCUGGAUGAAACGUAUACAAAACUGCAUAGUUUUUUUUUCUGAAACGCAUAAAGGUUAUGUAGAAUAUCAAGUGAUCUAACCUUGAUUUAUAAACAAUGCAAGAAAAGCCUCUUUUACUUAGACCAUACAUAACAACGAGAGAUGGGAUGGUGACCGUGUAAAAUAAAUUACCGGCAGUGGAGAUCAGCGACAAUCGUGACUCGUCACCAUAAAAGCCAUAAGCCCUCCCACACUCAUCAUACAUAAAUAUACAAGAACAUAAGAAAAUAUAUUUUUUAGGAAAAAUGUUCAAAAAUACACAUUUUUUGCUUGUGAUGAUAUACAUGCAGCAGUUAAUGUAUUAUCCAUAAAACAAAGAAUGUAUGCCUCAUAUUAAUCAUCCUUUCACACAUAACUUAACAUGCAGCAAAAGGAUUUAAUCUAUAGUUCAAGAUCAAAAUGAAUGAGUCAUUUACAGUAAGGCAAUUAUUGAUUAUAAUGGAGUGUGAAGACAUCAUAUAUUUACUUGAUGGAAAUUGCAGUCAAGAAAAGCAUAGAAUGAGUCGAGUACCUUCUGGUUUGCCCAAUUUGCUUGUGGUCAUCAAAGGUGUUCUCGAGAUCAAACAACCAAGUAUGAACUCCCAAACUUCUGACCAAAUAGCAGGGUGUACACCUUAAACCACAGAGAAUAGAGAGCCGGCCCGUGUUAGAGAUUAUAUGAGAGGUAGGCAAAAAAGUAAUGGUCUUAAAAUAAAAUGAGGGAUGUCUCAGAUAUCUUUACCCUUGUCAGAAUCCAGUUUAGAACAUAGGGAAUAUUUAGGGAGCCUUGUUGCAGAAAUAUAGCAUGCCAUUUUCAAUCACCCAAUGUUUUUGAAGCUGAAACUGAACCGAUUGGCACUAUUGAUUUAUCACACUUCUCAGAGAUCAGAAUCCUUCCCAUGGCGCCUCAUUCCGACUGUACGCAUACCCAUGCCAAAUUAAUCACAUUUGUAGAACGGUGCUCCAAUGAUGUAAUCUGAGAAUUUGUACAAGACAAAAUUUUCUGAAUACAAGCAAGUGUAAGUCGGAUGAAAGUUUACACAUAAUUCAGUCCAAGGGUCUAUGUUGGGCGAGCAGGAGUCACAGCAGCGUGCAGCUUAGCCGCGUACAGCACGGCGGCUAAUCUGAUUGAAUGUGAACUGAUAUACAGAAUUUGUCUGAAUGCUACAUUGAUGUACAGAAUUUUGUGAUGUAAUCUGACUAAGUGUGAACUGAUAUAGUCCGUCUAUGUAAUCUGUCCAUGUAUGUUGCUGUCAAAUGUUAUCACUGACGAUCCAUAUGAACUUUGGGUACUGUUUACUUAACUCAUGGAGUGAAUCAGUUCAUUUUGCCAAUAAUUUUUGACAAGAACUCUUAUGGACAGAAGUUCAUCUUGCCAAUAAUUUGAAGCAACGAAAUGGGAGGUGGGGAGGAAGAGGGGAGGGCCGUACCAUUUCGGGCCUGAGGAAGACGGUCCUGCCGAGCAUGAUGAAGGAUCCGGACUCGUCGAGCGCGCGCGCAACGAAGGGCCCGUCGUCCGCGCCCGCGGCGUCGCAGCAGAGGCGCAGGAACUCGGCGUAGGGCACGGUGCCCUCGCGGGACGCCCGCACCCCCGCGCGCGCCGCCUCCAUCUGCGUGGCGCGCAGCACCUUCCGCGCCUCCUCCACCGUGAGGCUGCCCACCACCGCGGCGGCCUCCCUCUCCCUCGUCGGCUGGGUCUGGGGGCGGGCGGCACGAGGCCGUCGAGGUUGAUGCGCGGGAAGGAGACGCCGAGGUGGUCGCGGAUCCGGUCGGCCAGGGGCAUGAAUCCCACGUCCGGGGGCACCGCAGGGCGGAAGGCGGGGCGCUCCUGCAUGAAGCGGCGGGGCAUCCCGUAGGCCUGCUGCCGCGCUGCCGACGCCGCGAAGCGCUGNNNNNNNNNNNNNNNNNNNNNNNNNNNNNNNNNNNNNNNNNNNNNNNNNNNNNNNNNNNNNNNNNNNNNNNNNNNNNNNNNNNNNNNNNNNNNNNNNNNNNNNNNNNNNNNNNNNNNNNNNNNNNNNNNNNNNNNNNNNNNNNNNNNNNNNNNNNNNNNNNNNNNNNNNNNNNNNNNNNNNNNNNNNNNNNNNNNNNNNNNNNNNNNNNNNNNNNNNNNNNNNNNNNNNNNNNNNNNNNNNNNNNNNNNNNNNNNNNNNNNNNNNNNNNNNNNNNNNNNNNNNNNNNNNNNNNNNNNNNNNNNNNNNNNNNNNNNNNNNNNNNGUGGGUGGGGAGGAGGCCGGGCGGCGGCGGGGAGAAGACGUGGUGCGGGGUCGCGGGGAGGAGAGGAGGCAGGCGGCGACGCGCGAGAAAGGGAGCGAGGUGGCUAGGGUUUCACCACGGGCGUGGCUGCCUUUUAUACCCGUGCGAGUGAAAUGACGGAAAUGCCCCCGGCGGGGCAGGCUAUUUACGCGCGGUGGCACGAUCGAGGUGAAAUUGUUCAUUGCAACAGUAUUUUUUUUAUCCGACGGACGAGGUCAUUCCAGGGCUCGAUCCGACGGCUUCGAUUGCAUCAAGCAACCAGAUCCAACGGCCAGGAAGCCCAAAUCGCUGAGGAAGCGGGAGGAUGCUCGGCAUUCUUAUUUCUCGAUUCCAACAAUCUGAUACGUACAUGAAAAGGAUGGUUGGGAAAAAACAACACGAAGGUUGGAGACACAUUUGGACUACCAUCCAACAACGUGUGCUGCAUGGCUUGAAUAGGGGUAUUUAUACAACAGGCAUCCAUGAACCUCUCACCCUUCUUCAUGCAAUUGACAUUAACCUGCUCAUUUCAUGAGUUUUUUCACUCUUUUUCCUUCUCUUCCUGCAAGAGGAAACAAACACAUGCAAAUAGAAUGAUCACAUGAUUUUGCAGUGCGUACUCACAUGAUAAGAGAGAGAUAAUAGAACACUCCUUCAAUGACUUGCCAACACACUUGCCACAUGCUUAGCUAACCAAAACAACGUAUAGCCCUAUAUAUACUCACUUGCCUUAUGAAUUAGUAUGUCAAAGGUCCAAUGUUGUAUCGUUAGUAUUUUUUUCUUUUCUAUUUUGGUGUCUAGUCUAUGGGAUACCCUGAAAUGAAAUAUUGGGGGGAAACAAAAUAUAAUGGUAUUUCCCCAAUCAGCGCCAUGGUGCACGCCACCAACCAUGCCGCCCAUGCAGCGUCGACCGUUGUAUCCGGCGGUGCAGCCUUGCAGCCCGGCCGCGCCCCGUCCUUCCUCUGGCUCCGGCGCCUACACAAUCUGCGAUGUCUAUGCCAUGGAGCGGUCAGAGCAGCCCUCCGCUGCCUCGUGGCAGCAGAGACCUUGUGGGCGCCAGAUAUGUCAGCAAUCUCGCCACUGAAACUGGCGCCCUGUGUAGUGCUGGAAAGGAGGACCAUGGAGAGGUGGAAGGCGAAUAAGGCGCCGUAGCUGCCAGAGUACCAAGCGGCCAGGAGCUAGAGUCAACGGUGUUCGACGGAGUGGUUUGACACCUGGUGGAGCAUCCAAUGGACGCCGAAGCCGAUACUUCCUUGUUCUUUGGGGUGAUUACACCGAGAGAUUCAAGAGUUCAAUGGUAACAACAUCCCUGAGAAAACAUUUGUGACACACCUCACUCAGAUGUUGGUGAUCCUCACCUUUCACGGACAAAAUGACCGUCAUCAAGUCGGGAGAACGCUUGACAAUUCGCAGAGCUGAGUUUGGACCUCUUCGAGGUUAGGGAUGGUGUCAAUCUGUUGAGCUACCAAGCAGACAAGGAGGGUAUGCUGCCAUGUAGCGGAUCACGCAGUGGAACAUCGAUUUCACUAUAGUUGGGCUAACAUAUGUGUUGGACCACCUGGUUAUGUGAGUACUGAAUUCUCGACCCCCUCCUAAUAAGAAUGGGAAUGAUACGUGACCUUUCAGACUAGGACAUGUUUAGAAGAGAUUUUCACACCUCUAGGUCUUUUUGAACCUAUUGAAUGUCAACGUGAUAGUUUUUUUUUUGCGAGAUCAAUAGUAGUUUAUUCCACUAUAAGAUUGUGUUACAAUCCUUCGGCAAGAGAUCCUCAAUACAUGGGGUCCUGUGUCGAGACACACAACCGUAGCACGUUCAAAGCGAUUAUACCUUGCCAGACAAGCUGCAAUGCUAUUCUGAAAUCUAUGAAGUUUCUAGGGAAUACCUAUCGAUCAUAAGGGACUCGACUUCAGAUACUAAAUGACCAUAAAACGUGAUAGUUGAUAAACAAAUUGGUUAACUUACAUCUAUGCACUGAAGUAGGUAAUUAUGUUUUCUCUGGUGUCUUAUAGGAUAAUAAAGAGCAUAGUCUGGCCACACUAGGUGUGUGUUGGCGUCAUAUAACAUGCCUAUGGGAAUUGUGAGCGGUCACUUUGUGCAGAUUUUUCUUCUUCUGAAUUUGGGUCCAGCUACCAAUUGUUGUCCAUUUUGAUCGAAACCAAUUGUCAGAAAUCAUUUGCUGAAAGAUGCUUUUCCUUGGUCAAUGAGAAUGCACCACACUUCAGCGCAUCAAUUAUAGGCUGCACCUGAUCUUUCACGGCGCAAUGGGCUUGGAUUCUCUCUUCCUAAUGAGGCAUGCCAAGGGAUGGUAUUUUCCAGUCAUAUGCAUAUUUAGUUCUUCUUUGGCCACCGUUGACCCUUCUAAGGUUCAAAACUCAUGCCUCUGUGAUCAUGGCUAACCUGUUUUUAUUUUUGCACCAUACAGGUCAGAUUACAGAACCCCUGUGAAGAGUCUGUACCUUUGCGGCAAUGGUGCACACCCAGGCAGCGGGGUGAUGGGUGCCCCUGGUCGCAAUGCUGCUGCCAUGGUUUUGCAUGACCCAAAGGCAAGAUAAAUCUAGUUCAUGGGAAAUGGACAAUGGCAGCUGACACUAGGGUAUCACUAUCAAGCACAAGGUUGCAAAAACUGUGUAUAUUCACGUUGUAGUUGUUCCGCCGCUUGGGUUGUAGAUAGUUCUUUCAGAGUGCUGUCAUGUGGGGGUGUGUUUGUUUGUGUCCAAUGGUCAUUUGCACUCUGAAGGUAGCUCUUUAAGUGUGAUGUUUUCUCUGUGUGGGUGUGUGUGUAGUCCUUUUUGUGGUAACAAGGAGUCGAUUCAGCAUCUAUUCUUUCAUUACCCACUUGCCAAGCUAUUAUGGUGAUCUGUCCAUAUACUCCCUCCGGUCUUUUUUACUCUGCAUAUAAGAAUUGUCUAAAUCAAACUUCAUAAAGUUUGACCAUAUUAUAUGAAAAAAAUAUCAACAUAUACAUGCUAAAGUUAUACAAUAUGAAAAUUUAAGUCAUGACGCAUCUACUGACAUUGAUUUCACAUUGUGAAUGUUGGCAUUUUUUCUAUAAAGUUGGUGAAACUUUAUGAGGCUUGACUUCAGACAAAUCUUAUAUGCGAACUAAAAAGGACCGGAGGGAGUAACUUUUAAUCUACCUCCACCAACAAGUAGUACAAAUAUGUUCGGAAACUGGUUAGUUGGGGUACAUAUCCCAAGUUGAAGUCUCGGAUCCGUGUGAGAAUUUAUACUUUACGUUGGCACAUUUUGAACACACAUAAUGAUUGUAUUUUCAAUAGAACAGAGGAUCCAAACUUUUUGUAGGUUAUCUUCAAAGCCAUCAACUCGAGCCAUACGUCAUACGUGAUCAUUACUUUGCAGGAGGAGGAGCAGGCGCCCAUGUUCUUUGGAAGCAAUCAAUGAGAGAUGGUCACUUAGCAUUUGUUCAACCAAUUUGGUUGGUGGCCUAGUUGGAUUUUUGAUGCAUGAAGCUCAUUUUUCUUUGCCUUUUUCAUUGCCCUUGGAGCAGCCAUAUGGCAUUUGAUCAAUUGAACUUUACUGAACUCAAGUGAUGAACUUUGAAAUCAUUAGCAAAAGGUUGUGCCCAUCACUUGAUGUAGAGGCCGAAGGCGUCCCCUCUUUUCGAUAAAAAAAACAUCAACAAACACAUAAAGAGUCUCUUAAGCACAUGUAACUCUUCAAAAUUCAUGAUUUAUACGAAGAUAGACUAUUUGGCAUGCAAAAGGAAUCAUAUAUAUUGGUCAUGCAUCCAUACAUGCUAGGAUCUAAAGCUAGUAAGUACGUACAUAAAUAUGUUGAUUUGUGCCCCUUUUGCGUUCAAUUCUUGAGCAUACUUUCGAUUGCAUAGCCGUACUCUAUAUGAAAAUCCUUAGUGUUUGCAUGAAUUUCGUCCAGUUAGUUUGAACCAUGUUUGAAAUGUAUGUGGGCAGCAAUAGAUGGCUGCCUCCGGCAUCAGUGUCCGCGGACUGAUCUCCCUGUCCGCAGAUGGAUGCUGGAGCAAAUUACGGGUCAUCGUUGGAGAUACCCUAAGUACAUACAUAUAUAUAUGUUGUUUGUAUGACUGCAUGACAACACAGUGUUUCUGAAUAUUUGAACAGCCGACCACAUAGCGGCAUGUCCUGAACAAGCUAGGCCAGCUGAAUGGGAGUACGUAUAAGCUGAACAGCAUGGCUUCUCACUGUUCCUCAUGCGAUUGACACUCGACUACUCGUUUCAUGAAGUUUUCACUAUUUUGUCUUCUCUUCUUGCAAGAGGAAACAAAACAUGGAAAUAGAGUGAUCACAUGAUUUUGCAGCGUGUAUUCACAUGAUACAAGAGAGAAUAAAAUGGUGCUUGCAUGACUUGACGAAGACUUGACACUUUUACCUAACAAAACUACAUAUAUAGCCCUAUAUAUACCCUUCUUCCUUACGAAUUAGGAUGUCAAAAGUACAAUGUUGUAUCGUUAGUAUGUUUCCCUCUACUCUAGUGUCCAGUCUAUGGGAUACUCUGAAAUGGAAUAUAGGAGGGAAACAAAGUAAAGUAGUAUUUCCUUGUACACUCCUGCAUUGCCAAAAGCCCCAGAACCGUAAACCCCAGCCCGACCGCAGCUACAUUCCUGUCCGCAAUGACGCUCACCGCCAACCACGCUGCCGCCGCAACGUUAGCCGUUAUAACCAGCAGCGCCGCCUCGCAGCCCUGCCACGCCCCGUCCUUCCUCCUGCUCAAGCAUCACACAGUCUCCGUCACCCAUGCCCCGGAGCAUUUCGAGAGCCUAGCCGAAGAAGUUUGCGCAGUGUAUAGCAGACGCCACUACCGGCCAGGCUUUCAUGGAGGGAAGCAUGGAGAUGACAUCAUCCAUGUCACCUUGUGAGUCCUCCUUCGGAUGUUCAUGGUCCCAAGCUUCGGUGGCCAGAUUACAACCGUUAAGGUUGGGAGAAUGUUUGCUGGUUGGCAAAGUGAAGUCGGGGCGUCGAAGUAGUUCGAGCUUAGGGACCAAGAGAUGCCAAUGUCGAGGUCCGGUGGGACAACAUCAAGCAGACUGGACAACAUGAACGGGUUCUCCUUUACAGUUAUGUUAUUAUUGCACUGUGUUGACCCUCAAAAGUAGCACGAUUAUAAAGAGCCGCACGCUCUGACGGGGUCCCUUCCGGACAUGUGGGGUUUCAGGUUCUCAAAAGCGUCCGCCGGAUUGCUUGCGUACCGCGCUUUCGGACGGGUCUCCUUUGACGUGAGCUAUGGUGCAUCACCCCCGGCGUCGAGGGUACACAAGUGACGUGUUCAUAUGCGAACACACUGGUACAAAACUAGUACAUCAGCCAUUCAAUCCAAUGGAAAGGCUAUCAUUUGUCUUCAUCCAUCUAGCCACGGCGAGGCCUUCUUCCCCAGGACUUGGCGCAGCCAUUUUUGCCCUGAUCAACUCGAAGAACUCGGCCUCGAUGGUGGUGUGUACUCGACGCGCUUCGGCCAGGGCUUCCACUUGUAGCGCGCACUAGCCAGUUAUGUACGUUCGGGAAUUCGGAGUGAUAAUUAGCACAGCUAGCUGCUGCACUGGGUGGCGAGAGCUCCACGAGGUACGAGAGCGUAGCCGCCCCAAGAGGACGUGAUCGUGACGCUUGGGUCCGUCGGGUCGCAGAUGAGCAAGACGGUACAAGCGGGAGUUCUUUUUUUUUUGCGGGGAGGUACAAGCUGGAGUUUUAGUGCUUCUGGUCUACAAGGAAUUUCUCUGCACCCCUGAAUAUUGGGGAGUGCUGGCCAAUAGCUUUGGGUCCGUCCGGUCGGGUCAGAACGUGUCUAUGGCUCCUUUCAGAACUUCUUUAUACUCUAUUCCCUCGGUUCCAAAAUAUAAAAACGUUUUUAAAUUAUAUAAAAAUAUUUUAAAACAUUCUUAUAUUAUGGGGACGGAGGUCAGAGGGAGUACCUUUUUAGUGGAUUAUUAUAUACCAAACUGGGAUUGCACCACCCGAUUAUGUUGUCAGCCACUCUUCCCCGUUGAGAAACAGUCAAACAGAGCAGUGGCAUGCUGUUGCUGCCAUUUGAGGCGUUCUGGAACAGGAGCUCGAGUGAGAGAGUCAACAAGGGCGCGUUUGGUUGCACGCAUGCAGCCCAAUCAGGUCCGCGCGGGAUGUGCGCGGUCUGUUUGGUUGCCUGGGCUGCAUGCGGGUUGUGGCCUAAACUUAAAGCAGGCCGCAGCCUGGCCCGGCGGAAACUGCCGAAUCUGCAGUUUCUCGGGAGCCUGACUCGGCGCGGCCACGCAUGCGGGACGGUUGCACACCUCGAGCAGCGCAGGAGACGGAAGCGACGGCUCAUAAUUGUUGGUGAUCGUUACAGAAAUUAAAAAAAUUCUACGCAUCACCAAGAUCAAUCUAUGGAGAGACUAGCAACGAGAGAGAGGGGAGUGCAUCUUCAUACCCUUGAAGAUGGCGAAACGGAAGUGUUGCAAGAACGCGGAUGAAGGAGUCGUACUCGUAGCGAUUCAGAUCGCGAUGCAUUCCGAUCUAAGCGCCGAACAACGGCACCUCCGCGUUCAACACACGUGCAGCCCGGUGACGUCUCCCGCGCCUUGAUCCAGCAAGGAGGAGGGAGAGGUUGAGGAAGACAGCUCCAGCAACAGCACGACGGCGUGGUGGUGGUGGAGCAGCUGUUCUCCGGCAGGGCUUUGCCAAGCUCACACGAAGGAGGAGAGGUGUUGGGGAGGGGGAGGGAUGCGCCUUGGAUGUAGUGCGGCUGCCCUCCCUCUACCCGUCUAUUUAUAGGGUGAAGGGGGAAGGGGUCCGGCCCCUCUAGAUGAGAUCUAGAGGGGGGCGGCGGCCAAGGGGAGGGGGCUUGCCCCCCAAGCCAAGGGGGGCGCCCCCUUUAGGCCCCCCCACCCUAGGCGCAUGGGCCCUAGGGGGGAUGGCGCCCAACCCACUUAGGGGCUGGUUCCCUUCCACAUACAACCCAUAAGGCCCUACGGGGCAGGUGGACCCUCCCAGUGGACCCCCAGAACCCCUCCGGUGGUCCCGGUACAAUACCGAUAUACCCCCAAAUACUUCCGGUGACCGUAUGAUGACUUCCCAUAUAUAAAUCUUCACCUCCGGACCAUUCCGGAACUCCUCGUAACGUCCAGGAUCUCAUCCGAGACUCCGAACAACAUUCGGUAAUCACAUACAAAUCUUCCCUAUAACCCUAGCAUCAUCGAACCUUAAGUGUGUAGACCCUACGGGUUCGGGAAUCAUGCAGACAUGACCGAGACAGCUCUCCGGUCAAUAACCAACAGCGGGAUAUGGAUAUCCAUGUUGGCUCCCACAUGUUCCACAAUGAUCUCAUCAGAUAAACCACGAUGUCGAGGAUUCAAGCAAUCCCGUAUACAAUUCCCUUUGUCAAUUGUUACGUUACUUGCUCGAGAUUCGAUCGUCGGUAUCCCAAUACCUCGUUCAAUCUCAUUACCGGCAAGUCACUUUACUCGUUCCGUAAUGCAUGAUCCCGUGACCAACUACUUAGUCACAUUGAGCUCAUUAUGAUGAUGCAUUACCGAGUGGGCCCAGAGAUACCUCUCCGUCAUACGGAGUGACAAAUCCCAGUCUCGAUUCGUGCCAACCCAACGGACACUUUCGAAGAUACCUGUAGUGCACCUUUAUAGUCACCCAGCUACGUUGUGACGUUUGGUACACCCAAAGCACUCCUACGGUAUCCGGGAGUUACACAAUCUCAUGGUCUAAGGAAAUGAUACUUGACAUUAGAAUAGUUUUAGCAAACGAACUACACGAUCUUGUGCUAUGCUUAGGAUUGGGUCUUGUCCAUCACAUCAUUCUCCUAAUGAUGUGAUCCCGUUAUCAAUGACAUCCAAUGUCCAUAGUCAGGAAACCAUGACCAUCUGUUGAUCAACGAGCUAGUCAACUAAAGGCUCACUAGGGACAUGUUGUGGUCUAUGUAUUCACACAUGUAUUACGGUUUCCGGUUAAUACAAUUAUAGCAUGAACAAUAGACAACUAUCAUGAACAAGGAAAUAUAAUAAUAACCAUUUUAUUAUUGCCUCUAGGGCAUAUUUCCAAUAGUCUACCACUUGCACUAGAGUCAAUAAUCUAGUUACACUGUGAUGAAUCGAACACCCAUAGAGUUCUAGUGUUGAUCAUGUUUUGCUCACGGAAGAGGUUUAGUCAAUGGAUCUGCGACAUUCAGAUCCGUAUGCACUUUGCAAAUAUCUAUGUCUCCAUCUUGAACAUUUUCACGAAUGGAGUUGAAACGAUGCUUGAUGUGCCUGGUCUUCUUGUGAAACCUGGGCUCCUUGGUAAGGGCAAUAGCUCCAGUGUUGUCACAGAAAAAAGUCAUCAGGCCUGACACAUUGGGAAUAACUCCUAGGUCGGUAAUGAACUCCUUCAUUCAGAUUGCUUCAUGCGCUGCCUCUGAGGCUGCCAUGUACUCCGCUUUACAUGUAUAUCCCGCCACGACGCUUUGCUUGCUACUGCACUAGCUUACUGCCCCACCAUUCAAAAUAUACACGUAUCCGGUCUGUGACUUGGAGUCAUCCAGAUCCGCGUCGAAGCUAGCAUCGACGUAACCCUUUACUACGAGCUCUUCGUCACCUCCAUAAACGAGAAACAUAUCCUUAGUCCUUUUCAGGUACUUCAGGAUAUUCUUGACCGCUGUCCAGUGUUCCAUGCCGGGAUUACUUUGGUACCUUGCUACCAAACUUACGGCAAGGUUUACAUUAGGUCUGGUAUACAUCAUGGCAUACAUAAUAGACCCUAUGGCCGAGGCAUAGGGGAUGACACUCAUCUUUUAUCUAUCUUCUGCCGUGGUCGGGCAUUGAGCCGAGCUCAAUUUCACACCUUGCAAUAUAGGCCAGAACCCCUUCUUGGACUGAUCCAUAUUGAACUUCCUCAAUAUCUUAUCAAGGUAUGUGCUUUAUGAAAGACCUAUGAGGCGUCUCGAUCUAUCUCUAUAGAUCUUGAUGCCUAAUAUGUAAGCAGCUUCUCCAAGGUCCUUUAUUGAAAAACACUUAUUCAAGUAGGCCUUUAUGCUGUCCAAAAGUUCUAUAUCAUUUCCCAUCAAUAGUAUGUCAUCCACAUAUAAAAUGAGAAAUGCUACAGAGCUCCCACUCACUUUCUUGUAAACGCAGGCUUCUCCAUAAGUCUGCAUAAACCCAAACGCUUUGAUCAUUUCAUCAAAGCGAAUGUUCCAACUCCGAGAUGCUUGCACCAGCCCAUAGAUGGAGCGUUGGAGCUUGCAUACCUUGUUAGCAUUCUUAGGAUCGACAAAACCUUCCGGCUGCAUCAUAUACAAUUCUUCCUCAAGAAAGCCGUUAAGGAAUGCCGUUUUGACGUCCAUUUUCCAUAUCUCAAAAUCAUAGAAUACAACACUUGCUAACAUGAUUCGGACGGACUUCAGCUUUGCUACGGGAGAGAAGGUCUCAUCAUAGUCAACCCCUUGAACUUGUCGGUAACCUUUGGCGACAAGUCGAUCUUUAUAGAUGGUAACAUUACCAUCCGCGUCCGUCUUCUUCUUAAAGAUCCAUUUAUUUUCUAUCGCUCGCCGAUCAUCGGGCAAGUCUGUCAAAGUCCAUACUUUGUUUUCAUACAUGGAUCCUAUCUCGGAUUGCAUGGCUUCAAGCCAUUUGUUGGAAUAUGGGCCCGCCAUCGCUUCUUCAUAGUUCGAAGGUUCACCGUUGUCUAACAACAUGAUUUCCAGGACAGGGUUGCCAUACCAUUCUGGUGUGGAACAUGUCCUUGUGGACCUACGAAGUUCAGUAGCAACUUGAUCCGAAGUACCUUGAUCAUCAUCAUUAACUUCCUCUCUAGUCGGUGCAGACACCACAGAAACAUCUUCCUGAGCUACGCUACUUUCCGGUUCAAGAGGUAGUACUUCAUCGAGUUCUACUUUCCUCCCACUUACUUCUUUCGAGAGAAACUCUUUCUCCAGAAAGGACCCAUUCUUGGCAACAAAGAUCUUGCCUUCGGAUCUAAGAUAGAAGGUAUACCCAAUGGUUUCCUUAGGGUAUCCUAUGAAGACGCAUUUUUCUGACUUGGGUUCGUGCUUUUCAGGUUGAAGUUUCUUGACAUAAGCAUUGCAUCCCCAAACUUUUAGAAACGGUAGCUUAGGUUUCUUUCCAUACCAUAAUUCAUAUGGUGUCGUCUCAACGGAUUUAGAUGGUUCCCUAUUUAAAGUGAAUGUAGCUGUCUCUAAAGCGUAUCCCCAAAAUGAUAGCGGUAAAUCGGUAAGAGACAUCAUAGAUCGCACCAUAUCCAAUAGAAUGUGAUUACGAUGUUCGGAUACACCGUUACGUUGAGGUGUUCCAGGCAGCGUGAGUUGUGAAACAAUUCCACAUUUCCUUAAGUGUGUACCAAACUGAUGACUCAAAUAUUCUCCCCCACGAUCUGAUCGUAAGAACUUUAUUUUUCUGUCACGUUGAUUCUCUACCUCAUUCUGAAAUUCCUUGAACUUUUCAAAGGUCUCAGACUUGUGUUUCAUUAAGUAGACAUACCCAUAUCUACUUAAGUCAUCAGUGAGGGUGAGAACAUAACGAUAGCCACCGCGAGCCUCGACGCUCAUUGGACCGCACACAUCAGUAUGUAUGAUUUCCAAUAAGUUGGUUGCUCGCUCCAUUUUUUCGGAGAACGGAGUCUUGGUCAUUUUGCCCAUGAGGCAUGGUUCGCAUGUGUCAAAUGAUUCGUAAUCAAGAGACUCCAAAAGUUUAUCUGCAUGGAGCUUCUUCAUGCGUUUAACACCAAUGUGACCAAGGCAUUAGUGCCACAAGUAUGUGGGACUAUAAUUAUCAAUCUUACAUAUUUUGGUAUUCACACUAUGAAUAUGUGUAACAUCACGUUCAAGAUUCACUAAGAAUAAACCAUUGACCAGCGGGGCAUGACCAUAAAACAUAUCUCUCAUAUAAAUAGAACAACCAUUAUUCUCGGAUUUAAAUGAGUAGCCAUCUCGCAUUAAACGAGAUCCAGAUACAAUGUUCAUGCUCAAAGUUGGCACUAAAUAACAAUUAUUGACGUUUAAAACUAAUCCCGUAGGUAAAUGCAGAGGUAGCGUGCCAGCGGCGAUCACAUCGACCUUGGAACCAUUCUCGACGCACAAUGUCACCUCGUCCUUCGCCAGCCUCCGCUUAUUCUGCAACUCCUGUUUUGAGUUACAAAUAUGAGCAACCUCACCGGUAUCAAAUACCCAGGAGCUACUACGAGUACUGAUAAGGUACACAUCAAUAACAUGUAUAUUACAUAUACCUUUGGUGUUGCCGGCCUUCUUGUCCGCUAAGUACUUGGGGCAGUUCCGCUUCCAGUGACCGUUUCCCUUGCAAUAAAAGCACUCAGUCUCAGGUUUGGGUCCAUGCUUUGGCUUCUUCAUAGCAACUGGCUUACCGGGCGCGGAAACUCCCUUGUCGUCCUUCUUGAAGUUUUUCUUACCCUUGCCUUUCUUGAAACUAGUGGUUGUAUUGACCAUCAACACUUGAUGUUCCUUUUUGAUCUCCACCUCCACUGAUUUCAGCAUUGAAAAUACCUCAGGAAUGGUUUUCACCAUCCCCUGCAUAUUGUAAUUCAUCACAAAGCUCUUGUAGCUAGGUGGGAGCGGCUGAAGGAUUCUGUCAAUGACCGCGUCACCCGGGAGAUUAACUCCUAGUUGAGACAAGCGGUUGUGCAGCCCAGACAUUUUGAGUAUGUGCUCGCUGACAGAACUAUUCUCUUCCAUCUUACAACUGUAGAACUUGUCGGAGACUUCAUAUCUCUCGACCCGGGCAUGAGCUUGGAAAACCAUUUUCAGCUCUUGGAACAUCUCAUAUGCUCCGUGCUGCUCAAAACGCUUUUGAAGCCCCGGUUCUAAGCUGUAAAGUAUGCCGCACUGAACCAGGGAGUAAUCAUCACUAUGUGAUUGCCAGGCAUUCACUACAAGAAAUAUGUCAACUAGUGACCUUCUGUCAGUGACCCUGGAAGAAUUGGUCAUAGAUCUAUGACCAUUUCAGACCAAUUGGUCAAAAGCUGUUCGGGGGGCUCCAAACCCUAAACCAUUGCGACCAUUUUGGUCAGAAAGGUCAUAAUUUUCUUACACGAAAUGGUCACAAAGAAAACAGGGCUGGUCCGCUGCCUUAUUUCUAGUUGUUAACGACCAAUAUAGAUGGUCAUAGCCUUGUAGAUUGUGGUGGGUUGUGAUGACUAGGCGCCAUCUCAUCAGUUUUGCCUAUGUGUCAUGUCCAUGUGUCAAUUUUUGCCCUAGGUUGUGAAGCAACCUAUAUUUCUGUUAUUCCAAAAAUUCCCAAAUAAUUCUCAUAAAUUUUUGGAUCAUAUCUUCAUCAAAUAUUUCAAAAACCUUCCUUGCCUAGUUCAAAAAUAACUCAACAAUAUUCAUUUCCCUAUUUUGUUCAGAGCAGCAGUUUGUGAAGGAAGUACCACUUUGGCAUGUCCAAAUAGUAUCCAUUUUCUACAGUGCUUUCCUAUGCCCAAAUAACCAUCCUCCACCAAAUGCCAGCUCAAUCCAUUCAUUAUUUUGAGCUGAGCUUCAACGUUUGUAGUUAUGUCCAGUGUGGUAGUUUGCAAAGCAAGUACAACCUAGGCUCCUCCUUUUGAGGUGAAAAUUUGUGAAGACGGUCUUCUUAGUAACUGAUCAUCCUCAGCCAAAACUCACACCCAUUAGCCAUGUACAUUUCCCGUACCGCUAAUCAAACACUUGGCUGCUAAUUCAUGUUUGAGCAUCGAUCGGUCUCCUCGUGAGAAUGUUAUGUUGUAAUUUUCUUCCUAGCACCUACCUGGGGAGUGCCCAACCCACUAUACAUGCCUAGGCUGCCCAGAACACAUGGCAACGCCACGAUCACGCGGUGACCACGCGACGGGCAUGCGAGCUUACGCGCUCUAGAGUUGGGGCCCUCGGCCACCGUCCAAACCUCGAUGUCUCGCCAUCAAACCAUGUAUUUCUGAUUAAAUAGAUAUUUAUUUACCUAUAAAUGAUUUUUGGAAAAAAUAAAUAGCAAACUAUGAGGUAGCUGCAGUUCAAAUUUGACCUGCUUCCAACUAAAUUGACGGGAAUUUGUCUUUUUCACCAGAGGUGGAUCAAAACUUUUGACACCCAACCAUUUUGUCAAUUGUGCAUUAAAUAUGUCCUAGUAUUUUAUAAAAUUGAUUAGGUCCAAUUUUGCAACAAAUAUAUGGUAGGUCCUUCACAAAAAAACUCAUUUCAGGCACUCAGAAAAUGGAAAAUGGUUUUUUCAUCCAAAGAAAAUGAAAACUUCCUUAGGAAACAUUGUUUGCCAUUCCAAUAUGCACCCUUGUGCACAAUAUGAGAUCAUUUGAACAAACUAUGCCAUCAAUGUGGCCAUAAGAUUGAUCAUUUGUCUUGAAAGCCGUGAAUCUUCGGAGAUGAUAGCUCAUUUCUGAGAACACUUUUUAAAAAUAAUUGCCGUAUUACAAUUUUGUUAUUUUUCCUGGGAACUUGGCCACAUAUAAUGACACAAUGCGAAGGUUUCCCAAUUUUUUGAUUUUUUUUGAAUUUUUUAUGCCCGUUUCAAAAUGCGGUCAAAACGGCGGGAAUGACCGUUCCUAGCUAGUGGUUGAAUCUUGGAAUUUUUUUGGUGUUUCUCUGAUUAAAUAGGUACUUAUGUAACUAGAAAUGAUUUUUGGAAAAAAUAAAUGGCAAACUAUGAGGCAGCUGCAGUUCAAAUUUGACCCGUUUCCACCUGAAUCGGCGGGAAUUUAUCUUUUUCACGAGAGGUGGAUCAAAACUUUUUGCACCCAACCAUUUUUUCAGUUGUGCAUUAAAUAUGUCCUAGUAUUUUAUAAAAUUGAUUUGGUCCAAUUUUGCAAUAAUUAUUUGGGAGGUCCUUCACAAAAAAAACCUGCUUUCGGGCGCUCGGAAAAUGGAAAAUGAAUUUUCCGUGCAAAGAAAAUGAAAACUCCCUUAGGCAACAUUGUUUGGAAUUCCAAUAUGCACCCUUGUGCAUAAUAUUAGAUCAUUUGAACAAACUAUGCCAUGAAUGUGGCCAUAAGAUUGAUCAUUUGGCUUGAAAGCCAUGAAUCUUCACGUAUGAUAGCUCAUUUCUGAGAACACUUUUUUUAAAAUAAUUGCCGUAUUACAAGUUUCUUAUUUUUCCUGGGAACUUGUCCACAUAUAAUGACACAAUGCGAAGGUUUCCCAAUUUUUUUGAUUUUUUUUGAAUUUUUAUGCCCGUUUCAAAAUGCGGUCAAAACGGCGGGAAUGACCGUUCCUAGCUAGUGGUUGAAUCUUGGAAAUUUUUUGGUGUUUCUCUGACUAAAUAGAUACUUUUGUACCUAAAAAUGAUUUUUUGAAAAAAUAAAGAGCAAACUAUGAGGCAACUGCAGUUCAAAUUUGACCCGCUUCCACCUGAACCGACAGAAAUUUGUCUUUUUCACGAGAGGUGGAUGGAAAUUUUUGACAUCCAACCAUUUGGUCAAUUGUGCAUUAAAUACGGCCUAAUAUUUUAGAAAAUUGAUUUGGUGCAAUUUUGCAACAAUUAUUUGGUUGGUUCUUCACAAAAAAACAUUUUUGCCACUCAAAAAUGAUUAAAAAUAGCUAGAAAUAUGAAAAAUGCAUAUAAAUUGGUCCUAAUACAUAAAAUAUGGUCUAACUCUAGUGAAAGUUUGUGUGGUGCCCUUUGCAAAAAAAUGGUAGCUACUUCAUAAAAUCCCUCUAUUUUUAGUAUUUGAAAACUAUUUUACAUCACUGAUUUUCUGAACCAAUCAUAACUCUGUCCACGGAUCGAUGACAUGGCGUCCAUCCAUCCAUCCAUCCAUCUCUCCAUCUCACAUCCAUCCAUCCAUCUAUCUACAAAAAAGAAAAAAAAAGUAAAGAAAAGGAGAUACCCCCACCCGCAGCCCAAACCCUAGCUCAGAUCCCCCCGUCGCCCGCUUCCUCCCUCGUCCCCACCUCCUCGCCGCCGCCCCUCCCCGAUCUCGAUCUGCCGCCGCCCCCAUCGCCCCCGCCGCCCUCUACUCNNNNNNNNNNNNNNNNNNNNNNNNNNNNNNNNNNNNNNNNNNNNNNNNNNNNNNNNNNNNNNNNNNNNNNNNNNNNNNNNNNNNNNNNNNNNNNNNNNNNNNNNNNNNNNNNNNNNNNNNNNNNNNNNNNNNNNNNNNNNNNNNNNNNNNNNNNNNNNNNNNNNNNNNNNNNNNNNNNNNNNNNNNNNNNNNNNNNNNNNNNNNNNNNNNNNNNNNNNNNNNNNNNNNNNNNNNNNNNNNNNNNNNNNNNNNNNNNNACCUCCUCCACGGCCACCUCCUCCCGCUGGCGACCGCAUCCACUCCGCCGCCGGCGCCACCUCCCCUCCCUGGCUAGAGGUCCCCUCCCCUCCAAGGGCCCGCUGCCGAUGAAGUCCGGCAAGGCCGGCUUCGAGGGCCCGCAGGAGGCGCAGCACCGCAUCCGCAUCACCCGCAGGAGGCGCAGCACCGCAUCUGCAUCACCCGCAGGAGGCACAACACCGCAUCUCGCCAACUCGCUCAGCGCCGACGAGGCGACGCGGCACCCCGCGGAGUAGGCCCUCUCCUCUGUUACCAUCCCGUCCUUCCCCUUUCCUCUGUCUCUCUCUCCCUCACGCAUCUUCCGUCUCUCUUAGGUACAUCUACAACAGCCCCGCCAUGGAUCCGGGAGAUGAAGGGUGAGGUGGACGCCAUCGCCCGGUGCCGGCUGCUGCCGCCGUUGGCGCGCAGCGUCCGGCGUGUGGCGGCGGUGGCUGCGCUAGCGUCGGAGGAGGCCGCGCGGCAGGGAUGGUGCUGGGCGGAGCUGCCGCCGGAGCUCCUGCAGGAGGUGCUGGCACGGGUCGAGUCAUUGGAGCCGCGGUGGCCGUGCUGCCGCGACGUGGUGGCGUGCGCCGGCAUCUGCCAGACCUGGAGGGGCGUCGUUCGGGAGAUCGUCCGUGUUCCCGAGGUGUCCGGGCAUCUCACCUUCCCCAUCUUUCUCAAGCAGGUAGUCGCUCCUGGCAACUCCGAAUCCCUCUCUCGUUCGCUGGCUCCCUGGUCAACAUCCAUGUUGUUGUUCAUUCAGCUGUCACUCCAUGGUAGCCCGGUGUUUAUAUUAAGUUCUUAGAUUAGUCACCAAAGUUUUUCUCUGUUGAUGAGAUUAUCUAUUACUAUCUACUAGUAAUUCAAGAGCAAUUAGUUGAUGAAACGUCUAUUUUUGGCAUACUUCAAUUAUGGCGAUUGUGUUCAGCUUGACUAAUUCUUUUGUGGGGCAUCGAACACUGGCAUCUACUAGUAGUGUUUUUCUUCUCUAUUAACUAGUUAUCUAUGCAUACCUUAUUCUAAAGUGUGGAGUGUCAACUAUUUCAGCAGCAUCACAUAUUGCAAGUAACCUCUUUCUGUUUAUGGAGUGUAAACAAAAUAAGAGCCCACAUACACUUGCAUUUUUUCUGAACAUUUAGCCCGUCCUGUUUAGUCGAAGGUUUUCCCUAGUAGUGAUAACUCCCCCCCACUCUCCUGUCACCGCCCAGCGCACUGUUCCCACCGCUUCCUCUCUGCCUCACCGCCUCUCCGUCUCCUCCCCUCCAAUGGCUCCACCUCACCCACCGCCGCGCCGCCCAUUGACCCUCGUCGAUCAGCGCAUCGCCAGCAUCCAGGAGCGCUGGCUGGCCGGGCUCCAGAACUAGGGCAGGGACCUGGAGUCGGCGUUGUGAGCGCUGUCCACCAUCUGCUGAUGUCCACCAUGAGAGCCGGCCAAUGCGGCGUCGAUCGUUCCUGCUCCGUCGCUGAUUCUGGACCUCGUCCUCCUUGGCUCGGUGCCGGCGCCGUCCACGGAGCUGACGCUUCUUGGGACCCCAUUUGGCAGGGGAGUUUCUUGACCCCCGUCCAAUGGUUUUCUCCUGUUGGCGCGUCGUCCUCAUCGACCUCCGGCGUGGCCAUGAGCACGGGGCCAAUGCCGCAGCCCGUCGCCAGGGCCGGCUCCUCCUCUGCUCCGCCACCGCUCUCCUUCCCGCCGGGGUUUUCACCCCGACCUUUGUUCGCUGCAGCUGCGCAAGCUCCAGUGAGUCAAACCCCCCAAUGCUUGCUUGUAGAUGUAGAUUAGGGUUUUAUUUUCUUAGGCAUGUGCUAGUAGUUAGUGGAUUCGAUCAGAUUAGAUAGAUUCGAGUAGACCCGAUUGGAUUUGAUCCCAAUCAAAUCCAAUCGGACCGAUCUAUUCUUGUAUCCUACAGUGUGUGUUCUAGGACAAUUUUUUUCUGCUACUGCUAGUGUGUCCUAGGAUUUGUGAUCAUGCUAGUAGUUGUGUUCAUUCUAGUAGUUGUGUUCAUGCUAGGGUUUGUGUUGAUUGUUAUACAUGCAUGUAAUAGGACCAUUUUAGGAUGAUGCCAAAUGUGCAUGGUACACAUGGGUGCUAUUGGCACUUGCACUUGCUAUUUUUAGAUGUUUGCAUGCUUAGGAUAGUGCAUUGAUCAGUGGCACUUGCCCAUGAGCAAGUGCCACUGAUCAGUGGCAUUUGCUCAUAUCAGUGGCACUUGCUGUUGGGCAAGUCCACUAAUCAGUGCCAUUGCAAGUGUCAUUGAUCAAUGUCAUUUGCUCAUGGCCAAAUGCCACUGAUUAGUGGCACUUGCUGUUGGGCAAGUGCACUGACCAGUGGCACUGGUCAGUGCACNNNNNNNNNNNNNNNNNNNNNNNNNNNNNNNNNNNNNNNNNNNNNNNNNNNNNNNNNNNNNNNNNNNNNNNNNNNNNNNNNNNNNNNNNNNNNNNNNNNNNNNNNNNNNNNNNNNNNNNNNNNNNNNNNNNNNNNNNNNNNNNNNNNNNNNNNNNNNNNNNNNNNNNNNNNNNNNNNNNNNNNNNNNNNNNNNNNNNNNNNNNNNNNNNNNNNNNNNNNNNNNNNNNNNNNNNNNNNNNNNNNNNNNNNNNNNNNNNNNNNNNNNNNNNNNNNNNNNNNNNNNNNNNNNNNNNNNNNNNNNNNNNNNNNNNNNNUGCCACUGAUCAGUGGCAUCUGGCCAUGAGCAAAUGCCAUUGAUCAGUGGCACUUGCUGUUGGGCAAGUGCACUGGUCAAUGCCACUGACCAGUGGCAUUUGCCCAACAGCAAGUGCCCAUUUUGCAAAGAUUUUGUGCACUAAUACUUGUCCUCUUGCCUGGCAAGAUAUUAAAGAGUGACUGGGAUGUGGCGGGUGGAGGAGCUUAGGUGGUGGCCGGACCUGAGAGCGCUGAGGAUUUCAUCCCCAUGAACAGGUGGCUCAGGACGGUGGACCUGCCUGGCAGGAUCGCCUUCAUGAGCCUGCCUCGUUCAAGGGGACGAUCUCCGAGGCAGGGCCACGAGGAGGGGGCAUGGGAGCCGCUUUGCUUCUACCAGCAGACCAAGGACAACGAGGACCUCGUCAUGCUCGUCGUUCCUCACAAGUUUGUGGAGGUGAUGAACACAUGGCUGGCCAUCAAGCGACUCCCGCGCGCGGUCAGGCUGUCGGCGAACAAGCGGUGCGUGUUCUGGGUGCAGGUCCAAAACUUCGAGGGGCACAUGGUGCUUGGCCGGGGCUGGAACUACUUAUGCCGCCGCCACCGGAUCGUCCUCGGCGACCUCAUCGUUGUGCGCAUCUCAGGACUCAGACUGAAGGUUCAGAUCUACAACCACGACUCCUCGGUCAUGUGUAGAUUUUGUUGCAGCAGACACAACUGCGUUGGUGACAUCGAGCAUGCUAUGUAGUUAAGUUAAGUUGUUAGUGUUGAAUUUUUAUGGUGUGUGGCUAGACUUAUGCGGGGAACUUGUGCUGGAAACAUGUUAAUAUUUUGGCCAGGAGCAGCACCCUGACGUGGAGCAAGGAAGGAGGAUGCCCCUGAUGUUAACCUUAAGUAGUUUGCUGUCAUUUCUUUGCUUGCUUGCUUGCUUUGUUUGAUCUUACUUUGUUUGUGCAGUUGUGCUGAUCAUGUGGUGGUAAGGCCACCACAUUUGAAUGGGGUGAGCAGAACACAAACGUUGUUUUCAACCAUGCAGUUGAAGUUUGCAUCUGCUCACACCCUAAGCACAAAAACGGCAACCAAACAGCAGGGGGUAAGUGCCCCUCCAUGCGAUGCAGACAACUAAACAAGUUGCAUCUGCUGCAUAUGAGGCUGCAUUUCAAGAACCAAGCUGGGUUGAGAUGGACAUGCAAUGCAGAAACUGUUGCAAACUGAAACCAAACACGCCCCAAGUGUUGCUCGACUUGGGGAAAGUAGUAAAAGCCGCUGCAGAAUAUCAUCUCUGUAGUAAAACCCGUUGUUACAUUUCAUCUGUUUGAAUAUUGUGAGAUGUGUAGCUUAUUAGCAAAACAUGCAGUGCAGUUAACGAAGGCCAGCAAUAACAGUCACGCGUUUGCACGCACCAUGUGUGUUGUGUACCUGGUUGAACGACCGUUGGAUUCAAAAUUCCUCAUCAGCCCCAUGGAUCCAACGUUAUCGGCAACAACUCCAGCCAUUGAGCGGAGCCCCACAGUGGGUGACAACUGUCGUAGUGCUAAAUCUGACAGUAAGAUAUGUGUAUGUAUAGUCUUUGUCUUCUGGGAGUUGCUCUUGCAUAUGAGUGUGACAUUACAAAGAUCGCGAUCGUAUAGCCGGAUGCCAGAGGCAGGCUUAUAUAGAGUGUCACGUACUCCUGCGCCCGUGAACUAGGCCACGUUACAGGAUGUCAUAAUGUAUAUAAUGUAUACUAAUUCAUGUCCACUACUGGCGGUAAGGGACGUCCAUAAUCAUAAGUCAUAGUGCCUGGUAAUGUCAAGCUUUAAUACUUGAUGACGGGUCUGGCUGGUGGCCUUCUGUAUAAUCUGAGUGACAGUAAACCUACUGACGGUGUACCGCUUGAUGUACAAACCGGGUGACCAUCAUCAAACUGACAGGUGAAUCGGCUGAAGGCUGAAGCAGUCUUUCCGACCUUAAUUGGAUAUUUUAAAGACACGUCGAUGCAAUCAUAUCCCAUCUUAACUGGAUAUGUAUAUUUCUAAGUUUUCACAGUUUUGGCUUGUACAUUCAUAAUGAUACCAUGAGUGCUUUAGGCCAUCCAUAACAUAUGUUUUCGGAUACCCCCAUACAAUUACAACCUAUCUUUUCUCAAUGGGCACAAAAUAUCCAUGUUACUGGGCCCGACAUAAUAGCUCUUGAUGCAACAACAAGUACUAGCUUAACGUGGGGAGGCGGCGAGUUAGUAGCAGUAGGUCGCAAAGUGGCUUUGUUACCUAUUCCAUUAGGAACCGCAUUUUUUAGUGAUAUUUAGGUGUUUCAUAUCUUUUAAACUAGAAUCCUAUUUUGAUUUUUACAUAUAUUUAAAUCCCAGUGAAAAGACCUUUCGAACAAGACCGAUAUUAGAUGUAUUUUUUUAAAUCAUUUAAAUUUUGUUGUUUCACAAACUGAUUGGAAUAAAAUUCACAACUGCUAGCACCUAUUCAAGAAUUUAUUUAAUUCUAAAAUGAUUUUCAUGAUUCAAUUAAUUGCAACUAAGAAAAAUGAUUUAAUAAUAAUCAAAAACUAUUUUAGUUUUUGGAACAAGUGGUUUCAGCUAUACCAAAACAAUGAUUUCAAGUUUUUCUAGUUUCACUAAUUAGAAAUAUUUCAGAACAUAUAUUUCAGUAAUUUCAAUAUUUUUUUCAACUUAUCUUAGUUGAAAUACUUCACAGAUCACAUAGUUCACUUAUUUCGAAUAUUUAUUAAACAUACUCCCUCUGUCCCAAAAUAUAAGAACGUUUUUAACACUACACUAGUGUCGAAAACGUUCUUAUAUUAUGGGACAGAGGGAGUACAUCUCAGUAAUUUGAGUACAUAUUUUUGAGUUUACUUAUCUAAAAUAUUUCAUGAAUCAUAUUUUGAUUUAUUUAAGUUAUUACAAAAGAGUUAUUUUCAAUUAUUCAUAUCCACUAUUUCAUUUAUUAUAAAUGGUUUCACUAUUGAAAAACUAGAUUUUAGUUAUUACAAUUUUUGAAAAAUUAUUUAACCACUAACUACAAAGAGAACUCAUUCAAAAAUUCAAAAAAUGAAUUCCACAUACCUAAAAAAUAUUCCAUUUGAGUGGUGCAAAAAAAAACUUAGAUAUGUAUUAAUAUUCCUCUAAAAUGGAGUGGAAUAUUUGAAAUAUGUUUCAAUUCUAUUAAAAUAAAUUAAUUUUCAUGAAACUGAUUUAAAAUAUGAUUGAAACACAAAAUAUAACUACUUCAAAUGUAUCAAAAGUGGUAUUUUUGUAAAGGUAUUCUCGCUAGAAAUUCAAAUAUAUAAAAAAAUCAAAAAAAUAUUUAGAAAAAAUCACUUACCUCAAAUAGGAAAAGCAACAUUGUUUUUGAAUAUAUAACAAAAUAAACAAAUAUUUAAAAGAAAUCACUUAUCUAAAACAUGAAAUGCAAAAAAAAACAUGCAAGUGUCAUCCUCUAUCGCCCCCACUUGCGCUAAGACCUCCCAAAGUUGGUAUUAGGCAGCAUCAACAUCUUGUACCAUCAAAUACUAUUGUCAUACUGUGGCAUCCGCUUGGGACAUACCCUAGCACGAGACCUCCUAUUGGAUGCCAGCGUGCGUCAAAUAGAAGCUUUUGUUGAAGGGCGCAUGUUAAUAGCCCGGCCGAUUGGCAAGUGUCGAGUGAAUUAAACAUGUCACAAGAAACCGCAAAAAUGUGGAGUCGAACUCCUGACCUCGCACCAGGGAGCAAUGUACAAAUGAUGAUUUGAUAAAAACGAAGCACUAAGAUUUUGUUCCUGGUAUUUAUGUUGGCAGAGGAGAAAGUUAGUGCAUAAUGAAAAGGUUCAGGAAAACCUAAGCUCAUAGUAAUGGCAAUCAGAGCUUUGGUUGCUAACUAUACUAUAGCGAGUGAAGCAGAGGCAACAAUCAAGUGACAUGGCUGAGAAAGACCAAGGAGCAACUAUAUGAAGCUAAACGUGGAUGGGGUUUUUGACCCAUACUUACUCAAGGGCUCGUAUCGCGCUGUCAUCAAAGACUCGAAUGGCAGAUUCGUCGUGGCGGGAAAUGGGGAAAUCGAUUGAUGCGGAUAUGCACUUAUGGCCGAGGCGCACUGGCCUUACGGGUUGGUCUCAAUUUGGCAACUAUAUUCGGAUGUAACCGCAUAAAGGUGAACUCUAAUAACAUCGAGGUGAUAGAGAUAAUGAACAAUGUGGGGUCACUCUUUAGGUCUAUCGGUGGCAGUUUCUGAUAAUACAUAUCACCUUUGCGCGUGAUUUCCUACAUAUUUUUUUUGACGAUGCUACUAGAGAGACUAAUUGUGUUGCACUUGAUUUAGCCAAAUUAGCUGGAAGUAAGGUUUGUGCGGAGUGGAUGGAAGAUCCAUCCAUAGAGAUAGUUGAUACUCUUGUAAAAGAAAACAUGGUGAUCACCUUGCAAUAAAAAGAGUACUUUGAUGUAAAAGAAAAGUCCUAAGUUGAGCCGCAGAUCCUUUAAAAAAUCAAGAUUUUAUGGAAAAAAGGUCAACGAAAUGUUCUUGAUAAAUUUUAAUAAUGUUUGAAAAUCGUGAAGAAAUUAUGAAAUUCGAAUAAACUUUUAAAACAUGAACAGUUUUUAAAAAACUAUUUUUCCUAAUCCCAAACAUUUAUUGAAAUUUCUUAUAUAUAUGAUGAACAAAUUUUAGAUAUACAUUGAACAUUUUUUUAAGAUAUGCUGAAAAAUUAUUGAAUACACACUGAACAUUAUUGUGGCAUGUGUUAAUUUUUUUAAUAUGCGUUGAACACUUUUAUGUGCUAAACUAUUUUAAAUAACAUGUUUUUAAAAAUACGUUGAACAUUAUCUUAAUUACAGUAAACAUUUUUCUUAUACAUACGAUGAACAUUUUCGUAAGACACGGUGAACCCUUUGUAUAAUAUACACAAAAAAGAGAAGAAAAACAAAUAAACAGAAUGAAAAAUACGGAAGGAAAAGCCAGAAGAAGAAACAAAUGCAAAAAAGGGAAAGAAAAAACCCGAAACACAAAACUGGAAGAAAAGGGGAAAACCCCGAGUAGCAUUUUUUUAGGGAAGAAAAACACGAGUAGCAGACUGCGACCGAAAAAGAACAAGCAGCGGAUGCGCGCACGUGGGCCGGCUUGUCACACUGUGGGCCUCUGGCAUCCAUUGGGACGUAUCCCGAUAGGCCUAGUACACACCCGCAGUAUCAGGAAGGAAUGUCGCUCAAUGGGCCGGCAACCAGUCCAAAACCCAUUGUUACAAGAAAAACAAAAAAGGUGCCAAUCGUUUAGUCCCACCUCGCCUGGGAAUGGGGAGAGAGCAGGGAGCUCAGCUAAAUAAGAUCGUUUCCCUCAAAAAAAAAAAAAGCUAAAUAAGAUCGUGGGGUGCAGACGGUGAAAGGCACGCAGCUGCGUGGUGAGCACAAAGCGAACUAUUCUUUCGCCUUUUACUAAAGAAUACCGUGUGCACGCCACAUUAAGCAGCAUACCCUAAUUUUUAAAGGGGGUCUUCUCCUUGUGAGAAGGCCCCAAAAAUAUUGAAUUUGAAAUAUUUGUGGUGUUAUGACAAAAUUCCUAAAUGGUUGCUAAAGUGAUUGAAUUGUUUACAAGCAUAAGCAAUUGAUAUCCAUCUUUGAAAUGUGGAACAAAAACAAAAUACCAAGUUAAAUCAUUUAGUUAUACCAAGCGACUGGUAAAUUUACAACCGUUAAUCAUUUAGUUAUACCAAGCGACUGGUAAAUUUACAACCGUUAAUCAUUCCCAAGUUAGACACCACAAACUGGAUUUUUAUCAUCAGUUAACUACUAUAGUGACUAAGAAUUCAGAAAGCGACAAUUCAGAGAUUUGCCAAGCAUAAGUUUUUACACAACCGGAACAUUUGAUUCAGUCUCAGGAACCAAUCUAUUCCCUCCGUCCCACAAUACAGGACGUUUAUGCAAGCUACAUAAGUUGCAAAAACGUCUUUUGUUAUCGGACGGAGGGAGUCUAAUACUACAGCAAUGGCUUGUAUGCAACAUAUAUUUGAAACAAAGCACGGACCCAGGAAGAUUAACUGUAAUAAAGAACGAGUGACAAGCCAAAGCACCUUCUUGCAAGGAUUCGACCAUAACGUCUCAUCUCAGUAUAUAUUAUCAGGUAUAUAAACUUAUAUGCUAAUAUGGAAAUGUCUUCAGGAUCCGACAGUCAUUUGCUAUGCAGUUAUUUAAGUCUAUGGGUUCAUCUGUUCAUAGGGGCAGCUUGCAUAUGGAACCUAACGGUAAAGCUUGCCGAAAACAUGGAGCACAGCAACGACGGCAACAAACCCUAUGCUCAUGAUCAGAACAGCAUUUGGGGACAUCUUGCGCCCAGCAGCCUCGUCAGUGUAGAACUGAAGCAUCGUACUGGCGCCACCACCACCUCCAGCAGCAGCACCGCUGGUGGUUCUACGUCUGCGCAAGCUUGCCGCAGCUGCUGCACUCCCUCUUGCAGGUGCGUCGCCAUUAAUCACCAUCUUGUUCUUAUCUAUCUGCAUGGAAGUAUGAAUUCUGAUCAAAAUGCUUGUAAAUCAUAAAUAACCAAAACAUAAAGAGUGUUCCGAAUGACCCAACCUGAAUCUACGAAACCAAACUCGGAAUCUAUGGAUACAAAACCAAAUUCAGAAUCUAUGGAUGAACAUGCGAUCGAACAUCUCGUGUCUAGAAAGAAAGACAGACGGACCGACACACAACUGUACAUUAUACCAUUAUAUGACUUACUUUUUUGCAAACAUAGGGAAGUCAAAAGCCAGCAAAGUAUACUACUCAGAGAACAAAAAAACCUCUACAAAACAAUAAGGAAAGGUUAAGAACUUCAAGUGUGCCUUGGAUCUCAGCAGGUAAUGUUUUCUUCAGUACUUGAGAAGUUCGAGAUAGAUAACGCAGUUUACAAUCACAUCAUCGAUCCAUGACUUGGAGCAACGAAAAGCCAUAAACAAACAAACAAGCAAAUUAAACAAAAGAAGAAGAUGAUAGCAUCUCAGACUACAUAGUCCCCAAUGUUUUUCUUCACUGUCAAAAGUCAACUCAAAGUGCAAGGAUGAGUAAACUUGGAUGUAACAUCACGGAUGCUCUGGAGAACAAACAAAUCAAAACGGCACAAGCAAAAUCUCACAGCUAUAAACCAAUAGAAACUAUAGUACAUCUCUCCCAAUCUCAUCUUUCUUUAUAUGAGCAGUCGGUUUCUUGAAGCAGAAACAGAAACAGCGGUUGCAAUAUCCAGAGAAGAAAAUGCAGAAGUCAGCAUCAGCACCUCUAUCUCUUUCCCAGCCGUCACCUCUCUUUAUCAAUCAGCAAUCAGAACAAAAUUCACAUCCAGCAAAACUAUAAGGAUCUGCAUUAGCAAUUCUUGCAUGUGUAGCACAACAAAGCAGCAGGAAAAUCGCAGCGGAAGCGCACACACACACACGUCUAAAAUCGUGUCACAUAUCUCCUCCCCCUCCCCCGAUCCCGCCCAGCCCCGGGCGCCGCAGUUCCCUCCGCACCUCGCCGCCCCGGUCCAGCGCCGAGUGUCCGCGGAUCUAGGUCCGUCGACAGCGUCCAACAACACGUCGGCAUCCAUUUCCCCGCCCCAGCCCCGCGGAUCCACCGCCGCGCCCUCCCAAGGUAAGCUAUCUCUCCGUUGCUCGAUCUGAGAAAGAAAUCGGGGGAAGGGAACGAACCUGUGAAACUGCAGCGACGGCGGCGGCGGGAAGGCGUCGUCCGGCGACCGGGGAAGAGAUCUGGGAGGAAAUAGGGCAACUGCUAGAGAGAGCGUUAUUUAUUUUAUUUUUCGUUCUCUUCCCUAAAAUAGGGCUGUUGGGAACGCGGUUGAUGGGCCUGGUAGCCGGGCUUAUGCUGGAUCUGCAUAGGACAAUCAAGCCCUUUUUUUUUUUUUUGCUAAGACGUGUAANNNNNNNNNNNNNNNNNNNNNNNNNNNNNNNNNNNNNNNNNNNNNNNNNNNNNNNNNNNNNNNNNNNNNNNNNNNNNNNNNNNNNNNNNNNNNNNNNNNNNNNNNNNNNNNNNNNNNNNNNNNNNNNNNNNNNNNNNNNNNNNNNNNNNNNNNNNNNNNNNNNNNNNNNNNNNNNNNNNNNNNNNNNNNNNNNNNNNNNNNNNNNNNNNNNNNNNNNNNNNNNNNNNNNNNNNNNNNNNNNNNNNNNNNNNNNNNNNNNNNNNNNNNNNNNNNNNNNNNNNNNNNNNNNCAUGACACGAUAUUAGCCGGGUCGUGCCCGGCCGCCCCCCGUGCUUCCCCCUCUAGUUCAGGCACGACCCAGAAGCUAUACGGGCCGGGCCGGCGGCACGCCAGGCACGCCUGGCCUGCUAGGCUGUUUUGGGCCAAAUUUGGCCUACUGGGCUAUUUUUUCGGCUAUAUAUAUAUGUCAAAAAAAUCUUAAAUAAGAAUAAAAAUAAAUAGACGGGUCGUGCCAUGCCGGCCCGCGUGCUCAGCCUUCAAGCCCAGGCACAGCCCCUGGCGUGCCGCGUGCCUAUAGUAAGGGCAACUCUAACACGCCGAUGUAUUUCGUCUGCCUACGUCCAUUUGAGUCUGCACGGUAAAAAAAAUGACCCAACGUGCCGACGCAAAUGGAUAGACAUAUGUUUUCUUGUCCGUUCGACCCAUUUCUGACCCAAAUUUGGGUCGGGGUUGCGUCCGUCCGAACACGUCAUGGACGCCCAUCGCGUCCUCCCAUUGUCCUCCCCUAGCCCGCUAGCUAGUCGGUGCCACAUCAUUUCAUUCCCAAAUUUCCUCUCAACCCCCUCACUAGAGUCAUGGCCAACGCGCUCAACCCCGUCGUUGCCUUUUUCCCUGCCGUCCCCAUCCCCGUCGUGGCCGCCCGCGUCGUGGCCCCAAAGAAGUCAAAGAAGGAGAUGGCCACGGAGCGGAUAGCGGGCCGACCGGAGGAGGAAAGAGAAGGCAAAAGAAGAAGUCGCGGUCACUCACGCACAAGUCGCCACUCCGAACACCGAGGCCAUCACCGCCAAGGCCAUGCAAACCACCCUCCUCCUUCUAGGGUUCCGCCAGCCGACCCUUCUGUCGCCACCACCGCACCGACCAGCACGGGCUCGUCGGCAACCUGGCCGCAUAGGCUUCCGGACUCAUCGCGCUUGUCAACAUCGCCGACAUAUGGGUACCUCCCCGAACACAACCUGACAGCAAUGUCCUGCUUCUCCACCUCACUUCAGGACGGCUAGCUGAAAAUGGGCGAUUCCAUGCUGGUCGUCCCUGUACUGGCUCCCAUUGACCUCAACGCCACACAUGUCUUAUUUCACCACGACCCUGACCAUGGAGGAGAUCUGGAGCAUUAAAGAAGAAAACACAAGUAUAUGAGUGGAAGUCGCAUUGACUGUCAUGAUGGAACUUACCAUAAGAAGCAACAAUCAAAUGGAGCAAAUUCCAGCCACACCAGCGCUUCUAGAGAGAAGAUGGCACCCGCCAUGCCUGCUUGCGCUAGUGCUCGGCCAGGUGGCGUCACCUCCUCCUGGUCGGUUAUUUUACCUCGGUGGCUUCGGAUCACAAAAUAGAGCUAGAGCUACAGAGAGAUUAAAAAACUUCACCAAAAUGAAGAACUCUAGCCGCCGGAAGGGAUCCGGAUGGGGGACGAUAGAAGGGCUUCGCUACGCCAUCAACCCAACCAAAGAGACUUCGACACCAACCAUCAUUAUCAUCGCCAUGGUAAUACCAAACCCUAGGUGGAUUCCUACUUGUAUUACUUUGAUCAUUCAUCCAUGAUUACCAUGAUUGUCCCUUUGAUGUUUGUUGUCUUUAUGUCUGAUUAAAACUCCUAGUUCUCGGUGAUACGGGGGAACCUAGUAUGUUUAGGUGUUGAAUGCCGAGCGUACUCUACAUCCUCCUUGUAUGUUUAGGUUAAUAAUAUUUUUCGAUGUUGGGUGAAGUCGACACUUGCCCUUCGGGAUGUAAAGGUUAUUACUAUCGAUGCAUUGUUGGGUUUGUGGAGGUACUGAGGUCAUAGCUAUCUCCCUCCUUUCCCGACCGCUCGAUAGGGGAUUACCGAAGAACGCCUUUAGCUACGUCCACUAAGAGACCCUUAAUCGUUGUUGUCGUAACCUACAUGCCGAGAGGCGAGAGGAACCGUGGUGACAUAUGUGUUACACGGCUACGCCAUUUAUGCACGUAUCUGUACAUGGAUCCGCCCACUUAUAAAGUAUACAAACUGUCUUAGUUAUCCAAAACUAGACUAUGCAUUCGCAUAUAUCUUUAUCCAGAGAAGAAAUUUUAUGUAUCUUUAUAAUGGUUCACUAGUAGAAAAAGGACCUAAUAUGAGACACAUUAGUGUCGGUUUGAUUUUGAGCCGGCACUAAUGUGUCCAUUAGUGCCGGUUCCAACGACUAGCCGGCCAUUCUCAUUAGUACCGGUUCGUGGUGAACCUUUAGCACCGGUUCGUGCCACAAACCGGUACUAAAGAGAGUGGUGGCAGGGUGUUGUCAGCCUGGGGCCCCUCCAGCACCUUUAGUACCGGUUCGUGACACGAACCGGUACUAAAGGUCAACGUACAUAAACCCUUCGUCCACCCGAACCACUCUGUUCUUCCCUUUUCCCCUCACUUCCUCUGUUCUUCCCCUCUCUUCCUCGAGCUCCUCACAAAUUUUGCCCAAAAUUUGUCAAGAUUUGAAGGCCCCCAUCCAUUCAAAUGAUCACAAAGGUUAGCAACUUUGUCCUUUCAACUCUCAUUGCUAGAUUAGCUCUUGCAAUGCUUUGUAUAGUGAUUAAUUUGGAAGGAAUUAUAUUUGCUAGUAUUUGAUUUAUAUGCAAUUUGAGGUCAAAAAUAACACUUAGUUUGAAUAUGUAGGUGUGGUUUACUUAGUGCCUUCUAAAUCUCCGUUGUAACCACCGUCGAUCGCCCGCACCGUCCCGUCGCCGGCACCACCUUGUGGUGAGUCUCUUGUUCAUGAAUGUUUUACAUUACCAAAUUGAUGUUUGUGUGAUUUGGAUAUAUAGUUACUCGUAUAAUUAUCUUACUCGUACGUUGUUUGUUAUACAUAGUGCCAUGCUUUUGAUAUCCGUCCCCGUCGGCCCUCGUCCUUGUUAUGAUUCGGAUGUGGUAUAUUCUCUUUUAAAACUAGUUGUUGCAUUUCGUGUUUAUGACAAAUUAUGCCCAUCAAGUUGACAUAGAUAUUUUUAUCUAGGAGGUAUGUGAACCGGAAAUUCCAACCGACCCUAUUGUCGAGAGGUUAAAUUUAGUUGAAAGAGAAAAGGAGUAUUUGAAAGAAAAACUGAAAAGAAUUGAGGGGGAGAAGAUGGAAUUGGAGUUGCAUGUUGCCGAUGUCGUCGAUGAUACAAGACCAAGAUGGAGAAAAUGAGGUUGAAGAUUAGAAAGAUUAGAAAAUAUGUCAUUGAUAGUGUGGCUUGGUAUCAUUAUGUUGUUGGAUCAAUUGUUACCUUAGUUGCGAUCUUCAUCGCAUUUGUUGUUGCAUUUAAAUUCUUUAGCUAGAGAGUUAUUUGUAUGUUGCAUUUAAUUAAGUGUUGUAUAUGAACUUUAUAUAUAAACUUUAUGUAUGAACUUUAUGUAUCAACUUGUAUUAAUUUGGUCUAUUCGGUGUUAUGUAAUGAAGAUGAGCCGACAAUGGAUGUAUGAUGACCGAUGCUCUCCCGAGUUCAUUAAUGGCAUGCAUACUUUUCUGCGGGCCUCCGAGGCAAACAAGCGGGCGGAUGGUUUUAUGCCUUGUCCAUGUGCUAGUUGUAAGAAUGGUCACAGUUACUCUACGUCAAAAACCAUUCACGUCCACCUAUUUAAGUCCGGUUUCAUGCCCCACUAUAAUGUUUGGACCAAGCACGAAGAAAUAGGGGUUAUGAUGGAAGACAAUGAAGAAGAAGAGGACGACGACGGCUAUCCUGGCCAUGGGUUCCCUGAAUACGAUGAUACAACAAUGGGGGAAGAAGCUGAGCCGGCAAUGCGGGAAGAAGCUAAAGAAGAGGCAUCAGAUGAGCCCGCUUUGAUCUAGGUCGGGCCAUUGCCGAUGCAAAGAGAAACUGCGCAAGUGAUCUGGAGAGGACGAAGUUGCAGCGCAUGUUAGAGGAUCACAAGAAAUUCUUGUACCCGAAUUGCGAAGCUGACAAAAAAAAGUUGGGAACCACACUUGAAUUGCUGCAAUGGAAGGCAGAGAGUGGUGUAUCUGACAAGGGAUUUGGAAAGUUGCUGGUAAUGAUAAAGAAUAUGCUUCCAAAGGACAACAAAUUGCCCGAGAGUACGUAUGAAGCAAAGAAGGUUGUCUGCCCUCUAGGGUUAAAGGUGCAAAAGAUACAUGCAUGCCCUAAUGACUGCAUCCUCUACCGCGGUGAGUACGAGGAUUUGAACGCUUGCCUGGUAUGCGGUGCAUUGCGUUAUAAGAUCAGUCGCGAUGACCCUGGUGAUGUCGAGGGCGAGCGCCCCAGGAAGAAGAUUCCUGCCAAGGUGAUGUGGUAUGCUCCUAUAAUACCACAGUUGAAACGUUUGUUCCAAAACAAAGAGCAUGCGAAGGCGAUGCGGUGGCACGCAGAAGACUGUAAGAAAGACGGAAAGUUGAGAGUACCCGCUGACGGUUCGCAGUGGAGAAAAAUCGAGAGAAAGUACUGGGAGGAGUUUGCAGGUGACCCAAGGAACGUAUGGUUUGGUCUAAGCGCAGAUGGCAUUAAUCCUUUUGGGGAGCAGAGCAGCAACCAUAGCACGUGGCCUGUGACUCUAUGUUUGUAUAACCUUCCUCCUUGGUUGUGCAUGAAGCGGAAGUUCAUUAUGAUGCCAGUGCUCAUCCAAGGCCCUAAGCAACCCGACAACGACAUUGAUGUGUACCUAAGGCCAUUAGUUGAAGAACUAUUACAGUUGUGGAAUGGAACAGGUGUAUGUGCGUGGGAUGAGCACGGACAGGAAGAAUUUGACCUAAAAGCGUUGCUGUUCGUGACCAUCAAUGAUUGACCUGCUCUCAGUAACCUUUCAGGACAGACAAACCAGGGAUACCGCGGAUGCACACACUGUUUGGAUGAUACCGACAAUAUAUAUUUGGAUAGUUGUAGGAAGAAUGUGUACCUGGGACAUCGUCGAUUUCUUCCGACAAGGCAUCCCAUAAGAAAGAAAGGCAAGCAUUUCAAAGGUGAGGCGGAUCACCAGACGAAGCCUCACCACCGUACUGGUGCUGAUGUACAUGAUAUGGUCAAGGAUUUGAAGGUAAUCUUUGGAAAGGGUCCUGGCCGACAACCUAUUCCGAAGGACGCUGACGGACGCGCACCCAUGUGGAAGAAGAAAUCUAUAUUUUGGGACCUGCCAUAUUGGAAAGACCUAGAGGUCCGCUCUGCAAUCGACGUGAUGCACGUGACGAAGA
Molecule: long non-coding RNA, 53681 nt
Filed under: Triticum aestivum (bread wheat)
Lineage: Eukaryota; Viridiplantae; Streptophyta; Magnoliopsida; Poales; Poaceae
Description: long non-coding RNA (TAES_LNC006592)
Rfam family: MIR1120/MIR1122 microRNA precursor family (bases 43160-43246)
Source: RNAcentral